GGUUUCGUUAGGGACGCUUACCGGAGUCCGGUUCAUGGCGUGCUUCCGGUUCAAGCUGUGGUGGAUGGCCCAGAAGAUGGGGGAUCAGGGAAGGGACAUACCUCUUGAGACUCAAUUCCUAUUGCUCGAGACCAAGCACGGGUCCCACCUGGAAUCGGACGGCGGAGACGAAGAGAACCAGAUCGUCUACACCGUGUUCCUCCCUCUCAUCGAAGGCUCGUUCCGCGGUUGCCUGCAGGGCAACGCGAGCGACGAGCUCGAGCUCUGUUUGGAGAGCGGCGACGCCGACACCAAAGCGUCGUCGUUUUCCCACGCACUGCACGUCCAUGCCGGGACGGACCCGUUCGGUACGAUAACGGAAGCGAUCAGGUCCGUCAAAGUUCACCUUCAGACGUUUCGUCAACGUCACGAGAAGAAACUCCCCGGAUUCGUUGACUAUUUCGGGUGGUGCACCUGGGACGCGUUUUACCGGGACGUGACUCAGGAGGACGUGGAGGCCGGGCUCGAGUCUUUAGCCGCCGGUGGAACACCUCCGAAGUUCGUUAUCAUCGACGAUGGGUGGCAGUCCGUCGUCGGCGGCGACGACGGCGUUGAAAAGCAGGAGCCGCUAAGGCUGACUGGGAUCAAAGAAAAUUCAAAGUUUCAGAAGAAGGACGAUCCGACAGUGGGGAUUAAGAACAUCGUCAGCAUCGCGAAACAAAAGCACGGGUUGAAGUAUGUGUACGUGUGGCACGCGAUUACUGGCUACUGGGGCGGGGUCAGACCCGGAAUCAAAGAGAUGGAGGAAUUCGGAUCCUUGAUGAAGUACCCGAACGUUUCCAGCGGUGUUGUGGCCAACGAGCCGACGUGGAAGACGGACGCGAUGGCGGUGCGAGGGUUGGGGCUGGUGGAUCCGAAGGGCGUGUACAAAUUCUACAACGAAUUGCACAGCUACUUGAGCUCUGCGGGUAUUGACGGCGUUAAGGUGGACGUGCAGUGCAUACUGGAAACUCUCGGAGCCGGGCUAGGCGGUCGGGUCGAGUUGACCCAGAAGUACCACCAGGCGCUGGACGCCUCAGUGGCGAGGAAUUUCCCGGACAACGGCUGCAUCGCGUGCAUGAGCCACAAUACUGACGCGCUCUACUGCUCCAAACAGACCGCCGUCGUGAGGGCGUCCGACGAUUUCUACCCCCGCGACCCGGUGUCGCACACGAUCCACAUUGCGGCGGUUGCUUACAACAGCGUGUUUCUCGGCGAGUUUAUGCUGCCAGACUGGGACAUGUUCCAGUCGCUCCAUCCGGCGGCUGAGUACCACGCUUCCGCCAGGGCCGUCAGUGGUGGGCCCAUCUAUGUCAGGUAAUUAGAGAUUUAUCUCUUCUAAUAUCGAAUUUUGUACGUUAAUUUGUUUUGUAAUUAGUAAUUAAUAAUUGGUUUUUACAGUGACGCGCCUGGGAAGCACAAUUUCGAGCUGCUGAGGAAGCUGGUGUUGCCGGACGGGUCAGUGCUUCGGGCCCGAUUGCCUGGACGCCCGACGAAAGACUGCCUGUUCUCUGACCCGGCCCGCGACGGCGUGAGCUUGCUGAAGAUAUGGAACAUGAACAAGUACACCGGAGUCCUCGGCGUCUACAACUGCCAAGGCGCAGCGUGGAGCACCGCGGAACGGAAGAACACGUUCCACGAAACCAAAUCCGAGGCCAUCACGGGUCUGAUUCGCGGCCGCGACGUCCACCUGAUUGCGGAGGCCGCCGUGGACAACGACUGGAAAGGCGACUGCGCCGUGUACAGUCACCGGACGGGAGAGAGCUGGUGACCCUUCCUUACAAUGUGUCGAUGCCGAUUUCGCUCAAAGUGCUGGAGCACGAGGUUUUCACGGUGACUCCGAUCAGGGUUUUGGGCGGCAGAUUGAGUUUCGCGCCAAUUGGACUGGUGGAGAUGUACAAUGCAGGCGGAGCAAUUGAAGGGUUGGGAUAUGAACAGAACGGCGUCGUCCGAUUGGAGGUUAAGGGCUGCGGCAAAUUUGGCUUACUCUUCUGCUAAGCCCAGGAAGUGUCGGGUCGGGUCUAAUGUGGUGGAUUUUGAGUACGACUCGUCGUCUGGGUUGGUAAUUUUGAGAUUGGAUCAUUUGCCUGAGGACGGUCAGAAAGUUCAUGUCGUUGAGAUUGAAUUAUUAGAAGGAAAUUAGACCGUUAGAUGAAAAUUGUUAUGUGCGGUGUUGAUUGAGUUCUGCAAUUGUUGGAGAGAAUUUUUAGAGUGCAGGAACAUGACCCGUUAUACAAAGUGGAAUAAUACGAUUGGUUGAAAACUUGAAAAAAGAUUUACAAUCAAUUGUAUUAAGACACUUAGUGUAACAUACGUGUUUUUGGUUUUCUUCACAUUGUUGGGAGAAGGGAGGAUAUUUAAAUAAAUUUAUUAUAUAUUAUAUGAUCAUAUGAACCAGUCUUGUAACACUAAUGAAUAAAUGCAUCAAUAUUAUUCCAUUUGUGAAAAAAUUAUUCGCAUGUAAGAUUAAUCUAAAUUUGGCCCUUUUGCUGGCGCUAAUAGGGAGCAAGAGAUGGAUUUGAUUUGAUAAUCAAUGAAUUGAGCAACAAAAAUCAUGGAAGCACUGUGCAGACUUCUAAUUACGCUUGUUUCACACGGGUGGGCGGGUUAUGACCCGAAAAUCAAAACUUUAAAGACAAAACCCAACCUAGAGAAUUACGGAUGGGUCGGUUGGGUGACCCAUGAGAAUGCCCACCCCUACUGUCAUGUGCAGAAAAAAAUUGCAUAUAGCAAUGCUUUAUUGGACAAAAGACAUCACGUAGUGGUAAACUCGUUCCAUAUAAGUUAUUUUCACUUCGAAGAGGCUAUGGUAUGAAUACACCAAAAUGGUAUUGUACCAAACCGAAACCAUUUGGUUUAGGGAUGAUCAGGACUUGAAAAUUACAAUAUCAAAAUAUCUCGUACUAGUCAAAAUUUUCAAUACCAACACUGGUUCUAACCUCAUAUGAACAAUCUUGUAAAUGUUUUUUUCCAACACACAAAUUAGGGGUGGGCAUCAAAUUUACCAAAACGAAAAUUAAUCAAUUAAUUUUGGUUUAGUUUGACUUUGACCAAUAAAAAAGUCAAAUAAUUUAAAAUUUGAACCGAUUUCCUUUUAGUUUGGUCCGAUUUUCAUACUUUUAAAACUGACUAAAACCACACUGAAUCUAUCAUAUAUUUUAAAAUAAAUUGCAUUAAUCACAUUUAAAGUAAUGUUUGAUAUCCAAAUGGUGUGACAUAAUUAUUGUAAUUGUAAGAGCAUCUCCAAUGAACUCUCUAAAUGAGUUCUAGCUAAACUUUAUAGAGGAAUUUGAAAAAAUCAUCUCCAAUCACACUAUAUAGUGACCUCCUUAGACAUGGAUUUUUCAGAUAUCCUAAAUAAAGCUUAUAGUAUUAAUUGCUAAUAUUUUAAUAAUAUUUUAGAGAACUGUUAUUUGCAUACCAAAGAUCUCAUUUUACACUCCUCAUAAGUGUAUUUUUUUUUUCAGAUAUAGAAAGUUUGAAGUGCUGAAUGAGAAAUGUGGAAUGCCAAUAACAAUUCCCAUAUUUUAAAUAAAAACUCUUUUCGUGUUGGUAUUAGUAACUUUACAUUGUUGUAUUCCUAAAUGAAGUACGAACUAAAUAAAAAAAUAUUAGAUUGGACUAAUAUGAGUUGUUACAAUUCAAUAGAGUAAUGAAAUUGAUUAAUGUAUAGAAAGUAAUUGAUACUUUUAAUUGACAAAUUAGAAAACGUGAAAGGUAGCUCCAGAGCAUGAACAAAAAGCAGCUUUGUUUUUUAGAUUUAUGACGUAGGUACAUUUAUCAUCAUUUGAUUUAUUUGACGGUCAAGAUUUAACAUUGUAAAAUCUAUCAAAAUACAUAGAAACGUGUUACAUGAAUCUUCUCAAAUCUUCCAAAAUCUUCCAAAAUCCAUAUGGAUUUGUAGAAGUCUACAUAAUCCUACGAAAUUCAUCCCUUAUCAAAUAUAUUAAAAUCAUUUCGAAACCUAAGUUGACUACACCCCCUAAAUCUAUAGAAUUGUGAAUUUAAUAAUCGUAUUAAUCUCACAAGAGUGUUAUAUAUACAGAUAUGUUAAGGUGCAAGACAACAAUACUUGUCAUAUAGGUAUACAAUCACAGAAUCAUAAUAGGAAUCCUAAACCUAUGAGAGACCGGAUUCUUUGGUGUCUGUUUUAACAAAAUCUAGUGCAUAAGGUUUAGAAUAUGUAAAUUGGCACGUUGCAAGUGAUUUUCUCACAAGUACUUUUAUGAAUAAGAAGGUUGAAAUUUUGCUAAAGUAAAAGUUUAAGCGCUUAUUGGAAAUCCACUUGCAAUUGCUUCCUCUGAAAGCACUUAUAAGUUCAACUGUUUUUGCCAAACUUGGUUAAAAGAGCUUUUGAUUUAUCUGAAAAGGCUUUGUAUAUAUAUCAAAGAGUCCCGUAGUUACUCACUGUUGGAUUUAAUUCAACGGUGGAGAAAAAAUACAAACAACAAAUCUACCGUUACCGUCGUAUUAGCAUCAAAUGGCAGAUGACCACAUCUUCAUUUGGAGAGUAAGAAAGGUGAAGUACAACUAAUUUAGGUUGUCCAUUAUAUGGUUUAGCCGAACUCUCCCUCUUCAUGUAAAAUACAUCUUUGAAACACUAUAUAACAUAACGUAGAGACAGGAGGAAGGUCGUAGUGGAUUUAAUUAUAUUUGUGCCGCCAUGGAAAAUAGACGUAGAUCCCAGUCGUCCGUUGGAGCCCCGGUCUCUGAAUAUGUCCACUCAAAACUAUCAAAAACAUCAACAUCAUCAGAAGUGAUGAGUGCUACUCAUAUUGCUGAUCUCCCCGAUGCUUUGUUGGCGGAAAUAAUUUCUCGGCUUCCAAGCAGUAGAUUCGUUUUUCAAUGCAAGUGCGUGUCCAAGCGUUGGCACACUCUCAUCUCGGAAUCUUAUUUCAUCGGCCGCUUUCUAGGUCUCCAAAUUGACAAGCAAACGCCGAUCAUACGCACUCUGAUAAGCGUGGAAGGAGAAGAUUUACUUUCGAGACUGACACCAUCGCCAUCAUCGUCGUCGUCAAAGGUGCUAACUCCGAUGUUUGAAAGACUCAAGAGUUUCCACGGAUUGAAAGAAGGUCCGUUUGUGGCAGGGACGUAUAAUGAUUUGGUUUUGUGCCGCGACCACAAAUAUUUCGCUCGUUCGUACUACAUAUGCAAUCCGCACACCUUGAGCUGGGUUGCGCUUCCUCCAGCCCCUACCCGAAGCAACAAGAUAGCACACGUGGGAUUCGUCUGCGAUAUGCCCUACUAUAACUACGAGGAAGGCGAUACAGAAGGACGACAUGUCGUGCGGCUUAAUGCUCAGUACAGGUGCAAGGUUGUUAGAAUUCUUCCUCCUAGUGAUGAGGAACUUACCUCCGAUAAGUUUUUAAUAGAGGUAUUCUCUUCUGAGACGGGAGAAUGGCGAGAGUCAUUAAUAUCAUGCCCGAGAAAACUCCAUCAUGUUAUGUUUGAUCGCUUCGGCUUUGCUUGCAACAGAAGGUUGUAUUGGUCGAAUUACGUUAAGGGCCGUCUUCUGGUUCUCGGGUUGGAUCUGUUCAACGACGAUAACAUCACUGUCACUAGUAAAGACGGCGGUGUUGACGGUGAAUGUCGUUUCAUUGUAUUCGAUAAGCCUAUGGAUGAACACUCCAUUCAGUGCCUAGGUGAUCAGUGUGGAGGGCGUCUGCAUAUGUAUGAGCUGGACAUUGUCGGGAGAAGUUUGUACGUUUGGGAGUUGAAAGAAGAAGAUAAUCAAGGAGAUGGGAAAUUAUGUUUGAGUGAACACAGGGUUUGUUCCUUGGACCCCGAAAUGUACCACGAUGAUGCAUAUCCACUUACAUUGGCAAGUGUGGACCCAAAUAACAAGGAUGUUUGGUAUCUGCGUGUGAAUCAAGAUAUUGUAAUGUGCAACAUUCAUACAAGGGAGUGGUCAACGAUAGCUGAAAAUAGUGCAAUUGUUACGAGCAUAUACUUCUUCCCGUAUGUGCCGUGGUGGCCGACACCCGUUCCUAGACUACCACAGCAGCGUGCUAAUCGGCUAGCCCGCGGAGAGGAAUUAGCCGCGAGCUAGGACAUAGGAAGAACAAAAGUACCGAUUUAUUUAGUAAAACUGAUAUAUGUUGUUCAGCAAUGGCAACUAGUUUCUUUCUGUGUUGUAUUUUUUUUCUUGUUUCGUUUUUGCUCCGCGGUCUCCUAUCUGUCUGUGACCACAUGUGUGAUUUGAAGUUUAAGUAAUAACAGCAGUUUACCGAGAAAAGCAGAAAAUCUCAGUAUUUAUCAAUGCAGGGAUGAUAUACAGAUAAACAAACACAAACCAUUGUGACCUCAAACCCAAACAACAUUCUCAGGAUGUUCAUGUUUGUGCACAGAUAAAAGCAGGAUGAUGCAAACAAGUCUUGCUUCAGUUUUUUGGUCAAUGGAAACUCCAUUACUUUUAUAGAGAGAGAUUUUUUAUGGUAUUGGUAAUGAAGUUGUCAUGCAACGGUUUUAAACAUGAAAACACAACAAGGGUUAUUGUAAAAUGUUGUAUGACAAACUUUAUGGAUUAGUAUAUAAGUAUUUUGUUUAGUACAUUUUUGAAUUUUAUAAUUUGUGACUUUAUUGUUUGAAGACCCCCCCCCCAAAAAAAAAAAAUUAUGUAGAUCUCUAGCUACAUCCCUGGCAAUACUACUUCGAGUUUGGUUGGUUAUUAAAAUUUUCAAUACCAACACCGGUUCCAACCGCAUAUGAACUAUCUUGUAAAUGUAUUUUCCAACACUCAAAUUAGGGGUGGGAAUCAAACUGACCAAAAGCGAACUUAAUCUUGAUUUUGAAUCAAUAAAAAAGUCAAAUAAUUGAAAGACUAAACCAAUUUCUUUUUAUUUGAGUCCGAUUUUCAUACUUUAAAACCCAACUAAAACCACACUGAAUCGAUCAUAUAUUUUUAUAUAAAUUGCAUUAAUCACAUUUAAAGUAAUGUCUGAUAUCCAAAUAAUGUGACAUAACUAUUGCAAGUGUAAGAGCAUCUCCAACGAACUCUCUCUAAAUGAAUUUCAGGCUUCUAGCAUUGAUCACUAAUAUUUUAAAUAAAAACUCUAUUCGAGUUGGUAGUAGUAACUUUAAAUAUGUAAUUUCGCUAAGGUAGGAACUAAACCAAAAAUGUGUAAUUUCGCCAAAGUAGAACAAUCUAACUAUGUAAACAAAGAUUUUGGUCAGAUUAGUUGCACCACGUAGCCCAAAAGUUGGAUGUGAGACCCUCGACGUCACCGUAGUACUCAGCGCUAAACCAACCACAUUGCUCCACGUAGCCCAAACUCAUUAAUCUCCCAAUAGACAGAAAGGAGCACAAGUCCUUGAAACGGUCAAUGCCCCAGGGAAUCCCCUCCAUUGCUUUCUUCUGAAUCCAUUUUCCGACACGAGUGUCUCGCACGUGUGAUAUUCUGUUAUGAAUUCAACCGUCUCCCGCCCUCUCUCUCUCUCAAACCAUUUCAGACUGCAACUUCUGCUUCGCGCUCUCUCUCUCUAAAACCAUUUCAGACCUUGGAGUUGGAGUUGAAAGCUUCAGGGGCCUGCAACAAUUCAGGUAAUUUAUCUCACCUCCAAAACCUUACAAACUGUUGAUUUUCCAAAUCGAAAGAAAAUUGAUUGCUGCUUGUUCGUUGUUUUUUUGGUAAUCCUCUGUGAAAUUGUUCUUGAUUUAGGUGAUAUACAGUUGGUACGCACAUGCAUGUGAUGUUUUGUUUGUGAGAUUCGAUGGAAAAUGAACUGCGAUUGAACUACCUGAUUUCUUGGAAAUUUAGUACUCAGUGGUCUGUUUGGCUGCCGAGAAAAUGGAGCGAAAGAAAUCGAUUACUACUAUAUACACAUAUGAUAAAACGAUCUAUGAAUGAAUUGCGUAAGUGCUUGGUAAUUCAGCAGUAACCAGAGAAUCUUUUGUGCUCUGUUUGGCUGCCGAGAAAAGGGAGCAAAAGAAAAAUGUUUACUACUAUCUUAAGCCGUUCCUUUUAUAGAUACGCAUUUGAUAAAGCGAUCUAUAAGUGAACUGCGUGAUUAAUUUCUUGGAAAUUGAUCAGUAAUCAGAGAAUCUUUGUGCUCUGUUUGGCUGCUGAGAAAAUGUAGGGAAAGUUAGGAAAAUUUUGGAUUUUUUUUUUUCCUUUUUUCCAUUUGUUAAUUCAGUAGUGCAGAAUGCCAAGUAACGCUGAACUGAUUAAAAUUUCAAUCUGUGAGCUAGUUAACAUGGCUGAAAACUUUGUCCGAUAUCUGUAUGCGUUUCUCAACGGAAACCCAAUAGGCGUGACCUGGGCGCAUGAUGGAAAUGGAUUCCAUCUGGACAUAUCCGAGGUUCCGCUAGAUGUGUUUCAAGGGCCUUUCCAGCGUUCGAUUGCAGGCUUUGAGAGCGAAGUGACGAGAUGGGUAAACUUUAGUUUUCUUUUUUGUUUUAAGUAGUUGAAUAUUGUCACUGCGUUAAACUGAGAGGAAACUGAAACUUUAGUUUUCUAACUUUUCAGGGUUUUGUGGUGGAAGGCAAUCAUUACAGGCACAGGGAUGAUCUCUUCCUGAGAGACCAGCCAGAGUUGGUCGAUGGUAUAGUUCGUGACCCUUCCCCAGCUGCUUCUCCUCCGGCUGGUGCAUCACCCCAGGCGGAUGCAGCAGCUGUCAUGCCUCCACUCCACGGUGCUCCUCCAGUUGCUGUCGUGCCUCCACUCCAUGGUGCUCCUCCAGUUGCUGCCGCUGCAGCAGUGCCACUCGCUAUUCUACCAGUUUGGGGGCGCAAAUCCCAGCGAGGUCCAAGAAUUCCACGAGCAGGAGCAUGGGGAUGGGCACCUUUUGAGUCGACUACUGCUAUUGCACCGGGUUGGGGAGUUCGCAUGGGCAGGACCCCAAGAUAUGAGGUCCCUUAGACCCCAUAUAUCGGAUGUGGUGAUGGCCCUAUCUUGCUCAAAUUGAUUACUGCUAUUACACUUCAGAAAUAUUUCUUGGUGUCAGUCGCUCAAUACAACCCCAAGCUUGCUGCUGAGAGGCAUUCUCUAAUAACGAAUCUGCUCGUAAUUCUUGAAUGGAAACACCACUUGAUACUGGUACUUGACUAUUUGUUGGAGGGAUAGGCAUUUGUACCACUACCAUAUCAUCUCUUACCCUCUUGGAUUGCUCAGAAUUAUUAUACUCUUGAGACAGUUCAGUUUUAUAUGGAAACACUUCUUCAUCGUGUAUUACAUGUCUUGACAAAAUCAACCUUCUAUUCUUCAAAUCAUUGCAUAUUGCUCCUUUAUACCCGAGGGCAUAGCCAAGAAAUACACACUGCGAAGAUCGAGCUUGGAGCCUGUUAACAGCUUAUGGUCUCAUCAAGGGAUAAAUGGCAGUCCCAAACACCUUAAAAUUAUGAAUCUCUGGAACUUUCCCAAACAAAAGCCGCUAUGGAGAUUUAAACUCCAAAUUCUUAGAUGGCAUUCUAUUAAUUAGUAAAACUGCAUAGGAACAAGCAUGAUACCAAAACAUUUGUGGCAAGUUUGCUUCUGUUAGUAAAGUUAUAGCAGUUUCCACUACAUGGCUAUGUCCCCUUUCAGAAAUACCGUUCUGCUGAGGAGUGUUUGGACAUGAAACCAUGUGUGAAAUGCCCUUGCUUGCUAGAAACUCCUCAAAAUUUUUACUCAUAUACUCACCUCCUCCAUCAGAUUGAAAGCAUUUAAUUGAAGCAUUAAACUGAUUAAACACAAAUGCAACAAACUUCACAAAAAUUGAACAACCAUCUGACUUCUUAAUUAUAGGAAAUAUCCACAUGAAUAUGGAAAAUUCAUCUACAAAGGUUAUGUAGUACUUAUACCCUUAUAUAGAUUUUACUGGAGAUGGCACUCAAUACAUUGUUUGUCACUCAAUUUGACCAACUUGUUUUUCCAAAAUUGCGAUUGCUCGAUUAUUUGCUUGCUUCCCUUGCGGAGGAAUUCGAUGCCCUUGAGUGAGCUUUUGUAAAAGUUGAGUGGUUGUUUGCUGACUGUAUAUUAGCUUGAACCAUCAAUGCAAAAAGCUUCUUCCAUGUACGUUUAUUGGGUUCCAAGGGUGUGGCUUCUUGUAUAAACUCUUAGAAUUGAGAAUUAGAAGGUCAAUGUUCCUUUGGCAUUGUUUCCAAGCCAUCAGGCAUGUGCCUACAAAAAGAAAAUUGAAAAUAGUGAAAAAAAAAACAGAAGAGGACUUUUUUUUUUUUUUUAGCACGAUGACAUAUUUUCACACUAAGGAGAGGGUGAGUUCAGCCAAGCAACUUAAUUUAGUAUCGAAUUUGCUUUCUACGAGAUUCGAACAAGAAUUUACAGGAAUAUUUGGAACAUUUCAUUUUUGCCUCUCACUUACAAAUGAAAAGGAAUAUCAUCAGACCGUAGUAAUAAAUGACAACAAAAGAAAGCUAGUUGAUUGAAAAGUAAUUAAACCAAAGACUACUACUCCUAAUAACUCACGAAGUUCAACACAAACAAAAAGACACCAAAUAACUAAAGGACUUCAAUUAGAAACUGAAUUGGACAAAAAAGAAGGUUACCGUGUUUUUUAUUUAAAUAAAACAGAAAAUAGAAAGAAAGAAAGAAUGAAUGAAUAAGGAAAAAAAAAGAACUACACAAACAAAAAUGGAAAACGGAAAAAUAAAAUUAAGUAAAGCACAAUUAAGAUUAAGGGGCAAUUCCUGGCAACGACGCCAACAACUUGAUGUAUAUUUAAACUAACCUAAAUAAUAGAUUAAUUUAAACCAAAUUAAAUUCGUAAGAGCACGAAUCAAUUGUAGUAAGAUAUGCAAAUAUAAGGUCGAUCUCACAUGUAUUGCUUUAACACCAAUUUAACCAACUAAUCACGCUAGACUUAAUUAAACAACAAAGGAUAAAUUGAAUUGAAUAAUUGAGUAAUUGAUUAAGACUAAAAUUAACAAGAAAAAAGAAAAGACAAUUAAUUAAAAUAAACAUACGACACAAGAAAACCUAUGGUUAUGAAUUCUCCAAUAAAAAUCCUAUUUACAUCUCCAAGAGCCAACUACUAUCCAAUUACCAUGUCAAUGUUAAAGGUUGUUCUUUUUAAUGUAUGAAUUAAUCUAUGGUCAGGCAUCAACUAUCUCUACGUGAUAAUUAUAUCUUAUUGGUUAGUGUAACAUCCUACAUCGCCCAGGGGAGUGGAUCAUGUAAGCCUUAUAUUCACAUCUCUACCUAGGUCGAUGCCUUUUGGGAGCUCAUUGGCUUCGGGUUCCAUCGGAAUUUCGAAGUUAAGCGAGUUUAUGCGAGAGCAAUCCCAUGAUGGGUGACCCACUGAGAAGUUCUCUUGUGAGUUCUUAGAAACAAAACCACUAGGGUGUGGUCAGGGUCCAAAGCAAUCAAUAUCGUGCUACGGCGGAGUUAAGCCCAUGAUGUGGUGGGGACCUUGGCCGGAAUGUGACAAUUUGGUAUAAGAGCCAAUCUUUGGCCGGAAGUGUGCCGACGAGGACUUCAGGCCCCUAAGGGGGUGUAUUGUAACAUCCCACAUCGCCCAGGAGAGUGGAUCAUGUAAGAUAUUCUCAUCUCUACCUAGCACGAGGCCUUUUGGGAGCUCAUUGCUUCGGGUUCCAUCGGAACUCCGAAGUUAAGCGAGUUCCUGCGAGAGCAAUCCCAUGAUGGGUGAUCCACUGGGAAGUUCUCGUGUGAGUUCCCAGAAACAAAACCAUGAGGUCGAGGUCGGGACCCAAAGCGGACAAUAUCGUGCUGCGGCGGAAUCAAGCCUGGGAUGUGAUGGGGGCCCGAGCUGGGAUAUGACAGUUAGACAUACAAAUUAACACAUAAAAACCUGUUAAGUGUAGAAGAAUCAUGUCAACCAAGUAGGACUAGCCUGAUAUUGGUCAUCCUCGCUAGUUUGUCUACUAUUCUUAAUCUUAAUUCCAAUAAACCUAAUUGAUUGGUCAUCCUCAUAAAUUUAUCUAUAUAUCUAUAUGAAAAAUUCCUAAAGGUGAUCAGUCAUUUGAAAUCUGAACCUAGAGUAAAAUACGCUCAAAGAUUUGAAAUCCCGUAAGACAUCCUUUAAAGCAAUUUUUUUUGUCGGAACAUUUAAAGCAAUUAAAUAAAUAAAUUACCACAUUUUACGGGAUAUAAAUUCCCAUAAGAUUUGAAAUUUAACGUUUAUGGGAUUAAACAACAAAAUCCACCCUUAGAAAACCUUAAACCAAUGAAAAAUUGGUGAUUAAAAUGUGGAAAAUAAGUUAUGAAAAGAAUUGUAUUUUUUAUUGAAUGAAAAUAGUAGUUGCAAAUUAAUAAGAUAAAAUGUCAUGAUAAAAGAUAAAUGUUCCCAUAAGAAUGUACCCAUGUACAAUUAUAGUAAUUCAUAAAAAUGUAACCAUAUACAAUUUCAACAUUAAAAUCAUAUGUACCCAAUGAAAUUAAAAUUGCGUUCAUAGCAAUAUAAUGGCCAUUGGUUAUGGUUUUGCAAUAUAAUGGUCAUUUGUUAGAAUUUUGCAAUAUAAUGGUCAUGGAGAAAAAUAAGUUCGAAAAUUUUUUUGGCAAAAUUUAAUUUUGGAGAUACAUAUUCAAUUUAAUAAUGUUGAAUUUGAAUACAAAGAAUUUUGAGAUUUUCAGCUACAAAUGUUAUUCAACCUUUUGAAUGGAUAAUCUAUGUGCGAGAAAUUAUAAAUUAAAUUUUGUUGUAAAAAAAAAAAAAAAGGAAAAGGUUUUUUAGCCAAAAUGGUCCCUGAGAUUUUGCAUAACAAAUCACUUUGGUCCCUGAGAUUGAAAAUCAAUAGGAAUGGUCCCUGAGAUUGUCCAUCAUCCAUUAUUUUGGUCAUUCUGUUAAAAACUCCGUUAAGUGUGCAAGAGCUCUUGGCCGAAAGUUUAGGCAAUUUUCAAAGCUUCGUAACUCAAUCGUUUAUUAAUCAAAUUCGACCCAUAAUAUAUUAAAAUGAAGAUAGGAAAGUGUAGAACAAGAUUACACCUGUUUGGAAGCCCAAUGGUUGCCAUAGAUGGCCGGAAAACAGCCUGAAAAGUGACUGGUCUGAGGGAAAACUGGAAAACUCGCCGGAAACUGGGUAAAUUUUAAACGUUUAUAACUUCUUCAAUACACAACGAAAUCAAGUGAUUAAAAAAAAAAUCAUACUUCUCGAUGAGAUAAAGAGAAUGGUACCUUUCUCGACUGCUAAAUCGUUGUGGUUUGGUCGGAAAACGGGUCGAAAGUGGCUAUCUUGGUCUCUAGUUAGCCACUUUUGAGCCAUUUUCCGGCCAAACAACGGAGAAUUAGCCAUCAAGAAAGGUAUCAUUCUCUUCGUCUCAUUGAGAAGUAUGAUUUUCGUUUUGAAUCACUCGAUUUCGUUGAGUAUUGAAGAAGUUAUGAAUAUUUAAAGUUUACCCAGUUUCCGGCGAGUUUUUCAGUUUUCCAACGGACUAGUCACCUUUAGGCUAUUUUCCAGCCAUCUCCGGCAACCAUUGGGCUUCUAAAUGGUAAAACUUGCUCUACAUUUUCUUAUCUUCAUUUUGAUAUAUUCUGGGUCGAAUUUGGUUAAGAAAAGAUUAAGUUACGAAGCUUUGAAAAUUGCCCCAACUUUCGGUCAAGAGCUCCGGAACACUUAACAGAGUUUUUAACGGAAGAACCAAAAUAAUGGAUGGUGGACAAUCUCAAGGACCAAAGUGAUGUGUUAUGUAAAUUUCAGUGACCAUUUUGGCUAAAAAGCCAAAAAAUAAAAUAAAAAAGAUAACAUGGAAGUGUGUUAUUAGUAUAAUGCUGAGGUGUACAAAGUCAAAAGACUUUGAUAAAAAAACUAAAAACCAAUAAGGUUUUAGUCUAUGAAAUUGAUGACUAAGGACUGGAUCCUAAUUUUUCCAUAAAACAAACUCCUAAACAAUUAAUAAAACAAACUAUGAAAGACGUCAUCUGACUUGCACGCCAGUUUUUAGAGUGCAUGAACACAGUCUGUAAACAAAGUGGAAUAAUACGAUUAGUUGAAAUCUUGAAAAAAGAUUUAUAAUCAAUUGUAUUAUAUGCACUUAGUGUAGUGUAGCAUACGUGUUUUUGGUUUUCUUCACAUUGUUGAGAAGCGGGAGGAUAUUUAAAUAAAUUUAUUACAUAUUAUGUGAUCAUAUGAACCAUGCGUCAAUAUAAUUCCAUUUGUCAAAAAAUUAUGAGCUUAAACUCCCAAUUGAAUCACCGACGCAAGCAAAAAUGAUAUUCACACACUCGUUUUUCGUUUUGCACUUCUCUUCAUGGCAGUGUUAUGAUUCUUAUUUGAUUUGUUCGAUCAAAGAUCAAAGCAAGAAAGCAGUAUAUGAAUAACAUGGAGUGGGAUAAUUAUUUACCUAAAUCAAAUUUGUUCUCCGACAAAUAAUGGAGUGGUGAGGCUGAACAUUAUAAAUUUGUGAACGAUCAAAAAAAAAAAAAAAUCACACAGCUUAGGGCUCGUUUGAAAGUACUGUUAAAUGAUUGAAAGCCUUUUUUAUUAAAAUAAAACAAAUAUGUAGUUAUGUGUUUUUUUACAAGAAGCACUUCAAAUGAUUUUAGAAUCCAAAAACAUUUUUUCUAAAAAUGGUUUCAAUCAUUUUAAAAGUAGCAAACAAACUAUUAGGUUUUCGAAGUAAAGAAGGUUCUUCCUUAACUGGCAAUGACGGUUAGAUACGUACCAAAAUCCCGUUAAAUCUAUGAACUGAAUUUUAUUUUUUUUGCACAUACGUCAAAAUCAAUUUUGUGUGCGAGGAAAAAUAAUCACCUUACAUGUAAGGAACCAAGUAUUUUCCGAGCAAAAAUAACUCGAAAACAAAGCAUAUAAUGCUCCAUCCAUAUCCCAAACUUCAUGUAAAUCAUCAUAAUUUUAAGACUACCAUAAAUUAAGGCUAAAAACUCAUGUCCAAGCAUUCCACCUCUUAAAAUAGUACAAAAGAUAAAACUCCAACUGGUAGAAGUAAACUAGGUUAAAUGAUACAAACACCUACCAUCAUACAUCUUCCCGGCGGCCAACUUCCCGUCCAUCGCUCGUGACGGUGGAAGAGACCUACGAUCUAAUAUUCCAUUCUGACAAGUGCAGUGGACGCGUCGGCUGAUCCAUACUGCAUCCAGUCCUUGGCACAUAUGAGGGCUUCCACCGUCUCUGGUCGUAGGGAAGUCCUGUACUGAUCCAUUUCCUUGACCGUUGUAUCAAAGACACAGUCGGAAGGAACUGUAGAUACCGGAAUUGACAAAAUGUCACGAGCCAUCUUUGAAAGCGUCGGGUACUUCAUCUUGUUCAGUUUCCACCAGCCUAAUACAUCAAAGUCAUGAACUCGGGGCAGCAGAGACUCGUCCAAAUACUGAUCCAGCUCCGACUUCAUCUGUUGGCUGGUUGUCUCCAUGAUGUACAUGUCAAAGUCCGUGAGUCCGUUGUCUGUUAGAUUAGCUCCACCUUGGGAAUCCUCUGUCUUAACGUAGUUAUUCCCUUCGUCUGCAUAAGUUGGUGUGAGAGGCAAAGGCAGUGUCAAAUAUUCAUGAAAGAGCUCAUGAAUUCCGUCAUCGACAACCUUGAUAUGCGUGGGAGCUUCUUCACCAUAAACUUUGUUGAAACUGAACUCAACAAGCUUCAUCUUGAACCUGGGAUCCAUAACUACCGCUGUUGCCAAAGCCAGGCUACAAUUCUUCCAGUAUUUUUCAACCCUUUCUUGCAUUGUCUUAGUUAGGCUGCUAAUGAAGGGAUCCUCACUUGCAACCGUCUUAGUCAGAUCUGUCUGAAUCCUCCACACUUCAUGGAAGAAAGUAACUGGAGUUGGGUUAGUCGUAGUGGUAAGGAUGUUGGCUGCAUCGAAGAUAAGUUUCAAAAAUGUGCAGAUAGUCUCAACUUGCUUCCAGUCUUCCAUUGACGGGGCUUGUUUGUAAUCAGGAUCAGAUGUAUCCAAGCAAGAAAACACUUCCUUUAACUCAUAACAGGCCACCAGCAUUUGAUACGUUGUGUUCCAUUUAGUCUGGUCAUCAAUUGAUAGGCUCCUUUCACUUGGGACUUGGAGCUGACUCUUAAGCUCCAGAAACUUUUCUUCAUGGGACUCUGAUGUCUUCACAUACUUUACACUAUCCCGUACUUUUUUGACCACAUCACUUCCUGCCGCUAACACUUCUUUUGCAAUGCUGCUCAAAGUACGGGCAAUGCAAUGCCCAACCAAUAGUUGACCAUUGAGGAUAAGUGGGUUCUUAUUUGAAAGAAGAGGCCUUAGAUUUUCAAGAGCAGUCUCACUCAGUGGCUGAUCAUAAGUGACUGAAAAUAACUUGUUUUCCAAACUCCAAUCAUGAAGGCAAACAGCAACAGCAUGACUAAGAGCAGAAUCAGAGUCUGGAUAUGGUUGCAUCACCACAUUGAGCAGCCGCCUGUGCAACUUCCAGUCAGCAUCAAUGAAGUGCCCAGUAACAAACACAUAACCCACGCUCUGAGAGGAAGUCCACAUGUCCAAAGUAAGGCAUACACGUCCAGGUAUGCCCUCAAUAAACUUGGUGACACUUUGCUUUUCCGUUAGGUAAGUUGCCCUCAAUAAACGUGGGUUACAUAUAUGUUUUCAAGCAGGAUGCAUUAUACAAAAUUUUAUUGGGAAUGUACUUACAGAUUUAUUUCUCAAGACUUCGGCGGCCUCUUGACGGUUCCACAACCUACUCCAUUUUCCAGGGUGACCAAGAGAUUUUUCAGAAAUGAUUACUCUAGCCAUUUCUCGCAGCAAAUCAUGCUUAUUCAACUUAUUCUGCUCAACAGUUAUAAGGCAUCGUUCACAGAGGACACUAAUUCCUAUUGUUGCAGAAAAUCCGCAUUUAUCUAAUCUUUUUGCGACAUAGUCCUUGUCCUCUCCAAUAAAGAAACAAGAUAUGUCAAGAAAUAUAGCCUUCUCUGAACGACAUAGCCCGUCAAAGCUUAUUCUAAGUCGAUUUACAAUGUUUUCAUCUGGAUAUCUUCCCAAUUCCUCCAAUUGGCUUUCCCACUCUGCCAACGAUCUUUUAAUCAAAAGAGAUCCUAAAACUUCAAGCGAGAGUGGUAAACCUCCACAGUAAGAAACAACCUUUUCUGAAACUUCAAGGUAUCCUUGAUCAGGACAACUAUUUUUAAAGGCAUGCCAACUAAAUAGCUCAAGAGCUUCUUCUUCAUUCAUUUUCUUAGCCUGAAAUUUUUUGUUCACAUUUAGUAGUAGACGUUCAUCUCGUGUCGUUAUAAUAAUUCUACUUCCAAGACCAAACCAAUCAUGACUUCCAACUAUUGCAUCCAGUUGUUCCUCUUUAUCAAUGUUGUCCACGAUGACAAGUAUCUUUCUAUGUCGAAAUUGUUGUUUUAUCAGACCUAUACCUUCGUCAACAUAGCUUAUUUCAGGCUUCUUUUUCAAGAUGUCAGAAAUAAGUUUUUUUUGCACAUCAACCAGAUCAUGUUUACUUGUAGCAUCGCGAACGUCGGCAAGGAAACUUUUGAAUUCAAACUGAGGAUGAAUUUGGUUAUAAAUGGCUUUGGCAGCUGUUGUUUUACCCAAUCCACCCAUCCCCCAAAUUCCAACCAUAAGAACAUCAUUUGAUCCACCACUUGAAAGACAACUGAUAAUAUCUUGAACGCGUGAAUUGAUUCCAACUAUGUGCUUGGCCACAUGUAAUUUGUUAGUGCUGGUGAGCCAUUGACAAAUAGUUUCGUCAAUAAUUUUUUUAAUGAACUUUGCUCGCCCCUGAAAAUUGAAUUCGUAAGCAUUAGUGGAAAUCAAUGAAGGCUCGGUAGGAGAUAUCAGUACAUAUACAAUUUUCUUUCCUUCUUCCCUUCAUAUAAUAUAAUAUAUAUAUAUAUAUAUAUAUAUAUAUAUAUAUAUAUAUAUAUAUAUAUAUAUAUAUAUAUAAAGAACUUGAAUAAAAGAAUUCAUUGAUAAAUAAAAGUUAGGCGUAUGAAUUAAACUCCAAUUACGGUUUAGGUUACUUAUGAGAGAUUAAGGUGUAUUCAUUAAGCAUGUGAAUGAAUGUUUAGAUUAUGUAAAAUGUUAAUUAAGCAUGUCAAUUAAUUCAGAGAUUAAGUCAAUCACUAAAAUUAGCAGCUUAUGUGAAGGAUCAACUUGAGAGAUUAAGGUGUAUUAAUUAAGCAUGUUAAUUAGAAUAAUACAACUCAAAUCUUGAAAAGCAGCUGAAUGAUUACCCAUUGUUAGCGAUUUUAUGAUGGUGGCCAGACAAAUUUGCAGCCUUUGUGAGAGCCUCUCUCCACUGCUACCCUUUCUUGUUUAGCUUCACGUUUCUUGUCAUCUUUUUCUUCACGGAUGUCCUUUUUGUGCUUCUGAAAUGCUUCGGUUAAAUCUCCGUCCUGCUUCCUGACAUGCGAAGGAUCAACGUGAUAGAAUAUUGGUAAAACAUGUCGCCCCAGUUUGUCUCUACACUCCAUGAUCUUCACCAGCUCGUCAAGACACCAACUCGAAUCCGCAUACAUCUUUGAGAAGAUAAUGACAGAGAUCCUCGACUCUUCGAUUGCACGAAACAGUUUCUCUUUUAUUUCUUCCCCUCUUGGUAGAUCGUCCUCAUCAAUAAACACCUGGUACCCUCUGGCUUCUAAUGCCGCGUGGAGGUGGCUCGUGAAGCCAUAGCGCGUGUCUUCACCCCUGAAGCUCAAGAAUACGUCGUACUAAAUAAUACACUAUUAUGGUACAAAAAUAAGAAAGCUGAGCCGAAUCAAAUAGCUUGGGUAAGAGAAGUUACUAAAUUCCGUGUGGAGGAUUUUCGAGGAAUUCGAGUAGUCGGCAGCUUUGGAAACUUUGGCUCACAGAUGGCCACAGUGAGGUAGCAGCUGUGGAGUACUCUCAUAUCCCAGCACCACUCAUAUACAAUGAAUUUGGAAGUUUUAGGAGAGAGAAAGAGACCUGCACUUGAAAAAAAUAUUAUCUCCUUCUUCAACUUGCAACUAACAAACAAAAAAAAUCACUUUAAUGGCCCGUUUAUGUAAGGGUAAUCAGAAUCAGGAAACGGAAUUGAAUUCCGAUUACGGAAUACUUUACCAAAUUUAAGGAAAUCAAAGUUUAGUGGUCCCACACAAAUUUUGGAAUCCAAUUCCGAAAUUUGGAGGAAUUAGACUCCUAACAAUUAGAUGGUAUUUGGAUUCCGGAGGAUUGAGGCGGUGAGGAAUCCAUUUUUGUUACCCAUUGUGCCCUCGCAUAAAAGUUGAAAUUCCAAAUAAACCCAAGCUCUCGUCCCCAGUGUUAUCCCUCUCCUUCUCCCUCACCAAACAACAGCAAACCCAAAACCAAUUUAAAGAAAAAUCUGAACAGAAUCGACAGCUCAUACAAAUGAAAAGGAUUGAGAGGAACUCACUCAACAUGAAAGUAUUCUAAACGAAAAAAAUGGGAAACUGAUUCAGAAGCUGGCAUCAAAAUUCGAGGAAACCCAUGUACUUGGAUAAUUCCAAUGAUGGAUGAUCAGAUGAGAGAAGCACGUACCUCAAUCAAACAAAAUCGAGGGUAGCAAUCGGAUUGAGGAAGAUCGAAUGGAAUCGAGGACGCAAGAAACAAAGACCUCUUCUUCCUCUCAGUCUCCAAGUCGUCCUUUCUUCAGUCUCUCUCUUACUUUCCUUUUUCUUUUUCUGUUUUCCUAUUUUUCAAUAAUAUGUAGCGCACUUUUAAAUUUGUGUCGUGUUGAGGCAAGUAUAUAACAUAUACACAUCCAAUAACUUUAUAUGAACGUAAUUUAUUUAUGUAAGAGCAAUAUAGUAAUCAACCUAUUUUUCAUUCCUUAAUUAUGGAGGAAUGGGGGAGUUUGGCGGAAGUGAGUCCUGCUAGCAUUUCGUUUUCAAUCCUCUUAUUUCAUCUGCAAUGUCAACUGGCUAAAUUGAUCAGCUAAUCGUUCAAUAUCCCUCCCUGUCAAAGAUAAUCGCUUCCGCGUCCACAAGAUUUUGGUAGUACUUAAGUAAAUGUUUUCAAGGCCUGCAAAGCAGUACGCCUGGUAUAAUUAAUAACAGUAAUUUCAAGAGGAUCUUUAGGUUGUUCAUUUAACGAGUAAAUACAUCAGACAACCACCUAUUUAAAAUUACGAUCAUCACUUUUAAGCAUAACAAAGUCGGCUACAUUCACCUAAUAAGCAAACUCAAACAACUCAAGAAUACUAUAAAUCCAAUUGAGAUAAAUGUCACCGUAUCCGCAAGAAGUCCAUCCUUAUACAUGUUGAAGAGUACAAGGAUCUCACAUCAGAUUUGUUAAAAUUAAAGAUGAAUUAUAUUGUGCAAUUUCCACUCUUAAUUAUAUCAAAGUAUUUUGUGAUAAAAUAUUCACAUAUGAAGUGUUGUGCAUGUACGAAAAUUCAAGUUGAUAGAAAGUAUUGAUGUUGUUAAUGAUGGGUCAUUGUAGAGCAUGCGAUAAAAUUUUCAAAGCUGUUAUAUCAAAGCCGUUUGUAUAACGUUAAUAGAUGAGCCCUUAACUUAUAUGUUAGCUACCAUUAGCUAGUAAACAUUACUAUACCAACAAGCCACCAAAGUCUAUGUGCUAUAUUAUAAAUAAAACUGGUCUCUAUGAAAAAAAAACACUUUGUAAAACGGAUAAGCACUUUACAAACCACUUCUGUUUGUCACUUUUCUUUUCUAAAAGCCAUUUUUGUAUAUAAGCACUUUGGUUUGGCCUGACAGGUUCCAGAUGUGCUUCAAGGGAAUGUGUUUUUGGCUGGGAAUUGAGCAAGGUAAGGAAAUAUCUGUUUAUGACGCUUUUGAUGACCCAGAAGGCAGGAGAGUGAUCAUUUCUUUCGAUACAAGUCGCGAGAUAUUUCAUGGUAUACCCGAACCAUCUGAGCUCCAACGAUUACCCCUGGGGCGUGACCUUGAUUUGAAGCUUAUUGUGUGGAAUGAAUCAGUUUCUUAUGGUUCACAAUGAUGGAUGCGUAGUUUGCUUUAAUCUUUGUACGAAAAAGCUUACAUAUAUUCCCACUGAAACAUGAGGUGAGUUUGUUGGUUAUGUGAAUAGCGUAGUUUCGGUCAUGAGACGCAACCACAAGCCUGAGAGCAAAGAAAAUAAUUGCUUAGACAAAGAUGAAGAUGCGAUGGUGGCGGUAGAAGGCAAGAGGGAAAGCUGCAGGAGGCGGUACUCAUAUUCUGUUUGGGCCAUUCCACUAGCUGAUGUUUCAAGGGCCUCCGGGCAGAGUUUGGUGGGCCGGAGAUUAGCCUCACAUCCUUAUAUUGGGAUCCAUCCAUAUUAUGAGUCGCGAUGACGCUCUUAACAAGUUUAGAUCUUCCUCACUGAUGAUUACGAGGAAUUACCAUCACCAGUGUGUUUCCUUGUUGAUGGAUUGAAACGUAUAUAUUUUCCCGAUCGCUUGCUAAUUGCUAUUCAUUUUCUUCAUGUUUUCUUCUGUUUUGUUUCCUUUUCCUCUUUCUCAUUUUGGUUUCUUGAGCUGGUUUAGACGCACUAAUUAUCAACUUUUAUGUUAUUAGUUAUUUCAAAGUACCAAAUCUACAUUUCGAUUUCUACUCCAGUAAGUUGUUGUUUACGUUAACCUUUGAGCUGGUGUUUUUUUGUUUUCACAAAAGCUUCCUUCUUAAUUUCUUCUUGUUGUUUACGGGAAUGUUCAUAUGUAAUCUGUCUGUCUGCAAUAUUUGAUGGAUGCAGGUUCAACGAAACAUAAUUAUAUAAGAUCCUGCCAAAAUUAGAUCACCUUCAACUUUAUCCCUGCCUUGCAAAUUGAGCUUCAGAACACGAGUUGGAUUGCAAAUGAUGGCAAAAUGUUUUAAAGCGGAUAAAAUUUUGGAGAUUUUCUAUUGAGAAAUCCAUCCUUAGUCUUGCGGAGGAGAUUUUUUAUCCUAACGUGAACAGCCCUACAAUUUAUUCAACUCUCAUAGUCUCACUAUCUCUAAAUGGUAAAGGCUAAGAGACUCAGGUGUCGAGCUGAAUGUUACCUGAACAAGUAGAUGAUGAAUAAUCAAGAGACAAAGAGAGGCGUGUAAGAGGAUCUUCGUCCAUUGGGUCGGAUAUCUGAUCUCCUCUAUCACAGACUGCCGGACCUUGUGGCUUCCAAUGAUGAAUAGAUAAAGAAAGACACGUACGAAGAUCUUCGUCCAUUGGGUCGGAUAUCUGAUAUCCUCUGUCACUGACUGCUGGACCCUGUGGCUUCCAAUGAUGAGACUGAGAAAGGCGCGUAAGAAAAUCUUCCUCCAUUGGGUCGGCUAUCUGAUCUCCUCUGUCAUUGACUGCCGAACCCUGUGACUGGAAGAAUACUGAGAGAUUCCCAGAACGAGUUUGAGGCUGAAUAUGAUGGCCUGCAGGAAAAGGAUUAGAAGAUAAGGAAAAAUGUGAAUGCUCAGAGAACCAUGAUCAUGCACUGCUAUAGUACUACCGAUGUACUUGCUGAGAUCAUAAUCAUCUGAUGACUCCUCAUAGAACCGAGCUGGAUGUUAGUCAAAAACAUAACUAGCUUUGUCCAAAUCAUGCGUAUUUUCCUUCAAAGGUUUGUUCCACACCAGAUUAACCAUUGUUCUCACUGAUGAUGGCAAAUAAUUACCAGAUUUUCUUGAAAAUAUGACUUCAACUUUAUCCCCACUUUGCAAUUUGAACUUAUCGUUCGAUAGUUGUCCUUGCCAAAGUACAAGCGUAUCCCAAAAUUCGCUGCAUAAGUAAGCCUGCAACUCGGUACGCUUGGUAUUAUUUAUAACAGUAAUGCCAAAUUCAAAAUAAUUCAUAAUUGAAUAUUUGCUCCAGAAGCACAGAGUCAUCCCUUCAAAAGUACGACCAUCAUUCGGGGGAAUAUCAAAACUGAAUGUAUUGCCAUGGUUAAGAAACUCAAACCAAUCAGGAACAAAAUUCCCAUGGAGUAAAGCGCCACCAAAUCCGCACGAAGUCCAUCCCUACAUAUACAAUGCAAGUGUCAUGUAUAUAUACAUGUAAACAUGCGUAUGCGUGUGCAUGUGCACGAUAGGAAGGCAAUGAGAGAGAGAGAGAGAGAGUGUGAGAUACCUGUAGGAUGUUCUUCCCAAAAUCAGAUGUGAGAUUGGUGCAGUUAAUUACUCAUAUCAAUCAACGUCAUGAAGUUUAAUGACUUAUCCAAGCCUGGAACCUCAGUGAGUUUGGGUGAAUCACUUACCUUCAACUCUGUCAUAUUUGACAUUUCCGAAAAAUUGGGCAUUGUUUCCAAUGCAGGACAAUGAAGGGCAUACAGAAAUUUCAAAUUUGUUGGUAAAUCUGGGAUUGUACGAAGGUUAAAGCAGUCAUUUAACCUCAAUGUUUCAAGCUUUGUAAGACCACUGAGGCCGGGUAGGGUAUGAAAAUCAGUCCCUUGAAGAUCCAAAACUUGUAAAGAAAUUAGACUCCCAAGAUACUCAGGGAUUGCAUCAUGUGCAAAAUGCACACCAUUUAGGGAUAAAAGAGUGAGAUUCUUCAAUCUAAUUGUGGAAGAUGGUAUUUGUCUUAUGACUGUAUAGUCUGCUUCAAGUAUUCUCAAUGAUAUCAUCUCCCCUAAAUCCUUAUGCACUUCUCUGAAACUUGUACACCAAUUAAGAAGAAGAGUCUCAACAGAUUUCAACUUAUAGAAAUCCCUUGGAAGAGAACUAAGCUUUUUGCAUUCUUUAAGGUUCACCAAAGAAAGUUUUUGAAGUUGACCAAUGGAGGGGUGAAUCUCGGACAGACUCCCACAAUCUUCCAGUAUCAACUCUUCAAGAUUUGGGACUUGUGAAAAGUCCGGUGAUUUAAUUAGAGAUAGGGAAUGACUGAGAUUCAGAAUUUUCAACCUCUCUAGCAACUGUUACAGAAGACCAAAGGAAAAUUGAAAUUAAUAUCCAAAAGGAAGAUGUCACAAAAAAAGAAGGAAAUCCAAAAACAAAUAGAAACAGAACAUCAUCAUGUGUAAUUGAUCGUACCUUAUAACCCUCCCAAACUUGUACCAGUUUGCUGUACUGCAUAUCUAAAACAACUAGUCUUGGUUGAUCAAAAAAGUCAGCUGGUAUGGACUUUAAAGAGCUUCCUACCCAACACAACCAUAUUAUAUCCUUGGGAAGAUGCUUGUAUUCUCCAUUAAGCUGUACCCAAUAUAGCCAGAGCAAUCGCAAUUUCUUCAUAUUGGCAAAUGCUUCUAUACUGUAACUAAGUUUGCCAUAAGAGAUACUUAGAGCAAGUCCUUCAACUUCUUCAGUUCCCUGUUAACAAAAGGUUAUAUUCAUGUGUAAGAAAUGGAUUAUUUGCAUAUAUUUACAUGUAUUAUUAUUCAUUAGGCAAAAUCACCUACGGUGAUUAUAUUUACACAUAAAUGUUGUUUAGUGUAUAAUAGACAUACGUGGGUUAUAUAUAUGUUUUCAAGCAGGAUGCAUUAUGCAAAAUUUUAUUAGGAAUGUACUUACAGAUUUAUUUCUCAAGACUUUGACGGCCUCUUGACGGUUCCACAACCUACUCCACUUUUCAGGGUGAUCAAGAGAUUUUUCAGAAAUGAUUACUCUGGCCAUUUCUCGAAGCAAAUCAUGCAUAUUCAACUUGUUGCCUUCAACAGUUACAAGACAUCGUUCACGGAGGACAUUGAUUCCUAUUGUUCCAAAAAAUCCGCAUCGAUCUAACAUUUUUGCGACAUAGUCCUUGUUCUUUCCAAUAAAGAAACAAGAUAUGUCAAGAAAUAUAGCCUUCUCUGAAUCAUCUAACCCGUCAUAGCUUAUUCUGAGUCGAUUUACAAUUUUUCCAUCUGGAUAUCUUCCUAAUUUCUCCAGUUGACUUUCCCACUCUGCCAAUGAUCUUUUAAUCAAAAGAGAUCCUAAAACUUCAAGCGCUAGUGGUAAACCUCCACAGUAAGAAACAACCUUUUCUGAAACUUCAAGAUAUCCUUGAUCAGGACAACUAUUUUUAAAGGCAUGCCAACUAAAUAGCUCAAGAGCUUCUUCUUUAUUCAUUUUCUUAGCCUGACAUGCUCUGUCCACAUUUAGUAGUAGACGUUCAUCUCGUGUCGUUAUGAUAAUUCUACUUCCAGGACCAAACCAAUCAUGACUUCCAACUAUUGCAUCCAGUUGUUCCACUUUAUCUAUGUUGUCCACGAUGACAAGUAUCUUUCUACGUCGAAAUUGGUGUUUUAUCAGACCGAUACCUUCUGCAACACAGCUUAUUUUAUGCUUUUUUUUCAAGAUGUCAUAAAUAAGUUUUUUUUGCAAAUCAACCAGAUCAUGUUUACUUGUAGCAUCGCGAACGUCAGCAAGGAAACUUUUGAAUUCAAACUGAGGAUGAAUUUGGUUAUAAAUGGCUUUGGCAGCUGUUGUUUUACCCAAUCCACCCAUCCCCCAAAUUCCAACCAUGAGAACAUCAUUUGAUCCACCACUUGAAAGAUAUCUGAUAAUACCUUGAACGCGUGAAUUGAUUCCAACUAUGUGCUUGGCCACAUGUAAUUCGUUAGUGCCGGUGAGCCAUUCACAAAUAUUCUCGUCAAUAAUUUUCUUAAUGAACUCUGCUUCGCCCCUGAAAAUUGAAUUUGUAAUCAUUAGUGGGAAUCAAUGAAGGCUCGGUAGUACAUAAACAAUUUUCUUUCCUUCUUCCCUUCAUAUAAUAUAUAUAUAUAUAUAUAACGAACUUGAAUAAAAGAAUUCAUUGAUAAAUAAAAGUUAGGCGUAUGAUUUAAACUCCAAUUACGGUUUAGGUUACUUACGAGAGAUUAAGGUGUAUUCAUUAAGCAUGUGAAUGAAUGUUUAGAUUAUGCAAAAAGUUAAUUAAGCAUGUCAAUAAAUUGAGAGAUUAAAUCAUUCACUAAAAUUAGCAGUUCUGUGAAGGAUCAACUUGAGAGAUUAAGGUUAAGCAUGUUAAUUAGAGUAAUACAACUCAAAUCUUGAAAAGCAGCUGAAUGAUUACCCAUUGUUAGCGAUUUUAUGAUGGUGGCCAGACAAAUUUGCAGCCUUUGUGAGAGCCUCUCUCCACUGCUUUAGCCUUUCUUGUUUAGCUUCACGUUUGUUGUCAUCUUUUUCUUUACUGAUGUCAUUUUCGUGCUUCUGAAAUGCUUCGGCUAAAUCUCCGUCCUGCUUCCUGACAUGCGAAAGAUCAACGUGAUAGAAUAUUGGCAAAACAUGUCGCCCCAGUUUGUAUCUGCACUCCAUGAUCUUCACCAGCUCGUCAAGACACCAACUCGAAUCCGCAUACAUCUUUGAGAAGAUAAUGACAGAGAUCCUCGACUCUUCGAUUGCACGAAACAGUUUCUCUUUUAUUUCUUCCCCUGUUGGUAGAUCGUCCUCAUCAAUAAAGACCCGGUACCCUCUGGCUUCUAAUGCCGCGUGGAGGUGGCUCGUGAAGCCAUAGCGCGUGUCUUCACCCCUGAAGCUCAAGAAUACGUCGUAGUUCCAGAGUUUGGACUUGGAGGAGGACGAAGAGGAGGCUUCGUGGGCUGUCAUGGCGGUAUCCACCGUUAUGGCUUAGCAGUGGUUCAGAUCACAGACUGAAAAAAUGGCGACAGCUGUGUUUGAGUUGCCGAAGGAUGAUAAUUAAACAUAAAUCAAGAUUCUUGAGUCAACAAAGGCAAAAGUUUAUAAUAUAAUAUAAAUGGUGCAGGGAAAGAGAGAGGAAAAGAGGAAAUAAAUAAAACUCUGCAAUUGAAAAAAAUAUAUAUAUAUUAUCUCCUUCUGCAUCUUGCAACAAAAAAAACAAAAAGAUCACAUUAAACAUAUUCCAGUAGAAAACCCCAUCACAGCAGUAGCAAGUUUAGGAGAGAGAAGGAGACCUGCACUCAAAUCGUAGGUUCGCCCGAGAAAUUUUCCAAUUCAGAAUCCAGAUCGUGGGUGGUCGAGAAUUUUCAAGGGAUUUUUGUAACUUGGAAGCCAUCUUUUUCAAUUUCAUAGCAGGAGGGCGGACUGAAAUGUAGGGGGGAGGAGUUGGAGGGAAAAGUACUUUGGUGUUCUUGGAUUUAUCGUGAUGGAGGAAGAGGAAGGGAAGGGUGACAGAGAGAGAGAAUAAAAUUAUUUUUAAUGGUAUGUUUUUUAUGAAAUUAACAAUGAGGCCCAGCUCACCAUUAAUUAUGGAGGCCAAUCCGUGAGAGAAUCUUCGCCGGAUCUUUUUGUGAAGAUUCUGUGAUCUUUCAUCAAUAUCCGUCCAUCGUAUAUUAUGCGGUCAGUUUUCAUCAGGUACUGUUUAUUUUCAAUUUUAAAUAAAAAAAUUUACAAUGAUUUCUAAUCACACGAUAUACAAUAAAUGAAUAUAAUUUGAGGAUCUUAAAAAUUCUCACAAAGAAUAUCCGGCUGAGGAUACUCACAAAAGUGAGUCCUGCUAGUGCAAGCAUUUCUUUUUCAAGAAUACAAGGGUAGAAACAAUUAAGAGCUACCUCCUCCUAUUUCAUCUGCAAUGUCAACCCACUAAACUGAUCAGCUAAUCGAUCAAUAUCUCUCCCUGCUAAAGAUAAUCGCUUUCGCGUUCAUGAGAUUUUGAUAGUACUUAUGUAAAUGUUAUCAAGGCGUGCAAAGCAAUACGCCUUGUAUAAUUAAUAACAACAAUUUUAAGAUGAUUUUUAGGUUGUUCACUUAGCAAGUAAAUACACAUCAAACAACCAACUCUUUAAAAUUAUAAUCAUCACUGUUAGGCAUAACAAAGUCGGCUAAAUUCCCCUCAUAAGCAAACUCAAAAACUCAAUAAUACCAUAUGUUUGUACCAUACUUAGGGCCUCCGUAUUUAUAUCUUGUAUAAAUACUCGGAGGACUCAAAUGUAAUUAUGUAAUAGAGGAGGGGCAAAUAUGUAAAAAUGAGAUGAGCCCUUAUUAAAUAAAAAUGCCUCCUCACCCUCACAAACCCUAAGCCUCCUCACAUCCCCUAAGCUCUAAGCUCUCUCAUGCUCUCACCCUCACAAUCAAGCUCUUACAGAGAAAUACAAUCAGUGUGGACGUAGCCCAAACAUUGGGGUGAACCACGAUACAUCUUUUGUUAUUUACUUCCUUGCAAAUUCACGGUCGAAUUUACGUUGUUCCAAGACCUCCGGUUUUGUGCAUCAACACCAUAAAUCCAAUUGAGAUAAAUGUCACCGUAUCCGCAACAAGUCCAUCCCUAGACAUGCUGAAGAUAACAAGGAUCUCACAUCAAAUUUGUCAAAAUUAAAUAUGACUUAUAUUGCAAUUUCCACUCCAAAUUAUAUCAAAGUAUUUUGUGAUAAAAUAUUCACAUAUGAAAUGUUGUGCAUGUAGGAAAAUUCAAGUUGAUAGAAAGUAUUGAUGUUGUUAAUGAUGGGUCCUUGUAAAGCAUGUGAUAAAAUUUUCAUUUUUCAAAGCUGUUUGGCAAACGUUAAUAGAUGAGCCCUUAACUUAUAUGUUAGCCACCAUUAGCUAGUAAACAUUACAAUACCAACAAGCCACCAAAGUCUUUGUGCUAUAUUAUAAAUAAAACUUUGGUACAUCAUGGAUGAGAUAUAGUAAAAAUCUUUGAUGCAUGUAACCUAACGUAGCCUGCUAACGGAGAGGUUUUUUCUGUGUACUUUGAACAUUGUCAUAGUGAUAAAAUAGUUCUAAUCAAUUGUAACACAUGUAUUUAAUUAUAUCAUGUGACACGUUUUCGAGGUACACACAAAGAGAAGAAUAAGAAGAUAUAAAUUAGGUUGUUCACACUUGGAAACAAGAUCGAUUGAUCCCUUUAUGAAUUUCAAUGUAAUCUUGAAGUAGUAAUAACUCUUUCCUUGAAUUUGAUCGAUCUUCUAGUCAAUUCCGGUCCUUAGAUCGAAUGAAUUGAAUAGAUUUAUGGACAAAAUUUAACAAGAGUAUAAAACACCCAAAGUUUGAAGUCAUGCUAGUUGCUGCAGCAUCAUCACCACCACCACCGCUCCCGCUCCAUCUUUUCUAGACUCCUAGUCAUCCACUGCCACAACCACUGCCAUCAUCACUAUCAGCACCACUAUACCACUCGGUUGGACUUCUAGUCAUGCAUGCACCUAGAUGUUCCUAAACGUAUUUUUGAUGUGAUGCACGGGACAAAUAUGUUUCACAAUUUGCUUAAAAGAAAUCAUUGUCCAUAAGAUAUUAUUGUGUUGGAACAAGACAAAUAUUGGUGACUUCGGUGUACCUUAAUUCUGCAUAUCAUUUUUCACGAAUAAAGGGUUAAAAUUUAACUAAAUAGUAUGUUAUGAUUCUUUUACUUUUGAGCCAAUAAGCCAAGAUAAAUAGGAGUGUAGAUAAGCCAAAUUACACGCGUGCAAAUUGCUGGGGAAGCCAACAAAGGUGGAGGUUGAAAGUUCAAUUAAUGUCGUUUAUUGAAUAAUCACGUGAUGAUGUUGGAUAAUGGAUAGUGACCCAUCUAAAUAUUUUUGUUGCUGGUUAGAAUUUUGUAUUUGGAGGAAUCUUCAUGAACGUAUUGGAAAUGUUGUCAAUUUUGAUAGAAUGUAGAUUUAAAUUGGAAUUUCAACAAAAGUAUAACUUGAGAUAAGUCUGGUAAAUUGUCGUAUGAUUCGUUAAUCCAAUACGAAAUGAUAUGGAAAUAAUAGGUUUUGGAUCAACUUGUUAACGAUUCGAAUCUUUAACGGAUGAUCCAUUAAGAAUCUGAUAAAAUAUCAUUUUGCAUAUCUAAACAUUAGGGAUUGCAAUUUAUUGCAUAACCCGUUAUCCGACAUGAAACAUUAUUACUUAACGAAUCAAGGUGUUAUCAGGUCACAUAUUAAGAACAUUUUAAGAUAAUGAGUAUAACACAAACACAACAAAUGCGGCAUGUUUGACAUGCCUAACUUGAAAGCUAUUAAAUAUUUACAUGGAAAUAAGUUUUACUGAAUAAUAUUUUGGUGUAGUUCAACCUGCUAAGUAUUUCGACUUUUUAAAUAAUCUUCACAACUCAAUUUCUUAAAAUAAGUUUUCACCGUUCAUUUUUUGAAUUACAUAGUAAUUCUGGAGAAAUUGUAGAGACUAAGAUAAUGCAAGUUGCCAACUAUAUUAACCUGACGCUGCCAACUUUACAUCUCAUUUUCAUAGGGACAAAGAUUGUCUGCUCUCCUUAUUCCCGUGCCCUCCUAUGCCCUCCUGUUUGUGUGAUCACGGUUAACCAACGUCAAUAUUUUAUAUUACUAUUUAUUUUUGUCUUAUUAUCUCUAUAAAAAAAAUAUAAAAUGUUAACGUGGCUUAACCGUGACCACACAAAACAGGAGGGCACGGAAGGGCACGGGAACAAGGAGGGUGGACAAUCCUUGUCCUUUUCAUAGCUCGAUUCAUAGGAUCCACGUCAGACUGAAUCAUUUUUUUAUCUCUUUCAAUAUAUAAUAAUUGGUUACGUAUAAAUAUUAAAUUUUCAAUACUAUUACACAUGUGCAGAUAAUAUCCCAAAUUAUUGUUUUCCUUCCAAGAAUUCACCAACGCACAACUUGGAGUCCAUCGCGACCAUUCCACGUGUCACCUUCUCAUCUAUAUAAUAGGUUUCCAAAUGAACCAAAGACAACUUGAGAAGAACUUCUACGUAACGUGAAUGUUAUUGUAACAGAAUAUGAAUUAAUAAUGGAUUAUCGUGUGGGAAAUUAAAAACGUAUGAGAUUGUGUUUAAUGCGUUUAGAAAAUCAAAAUGUGUUGUUCUCGUUCUAGAUAAGUUCUUAUUCCGUGCACAUGAAAACCCCAUUAUAAUAAGGUUACUGAGAGGUCUGGCAAAAGGAUCGUGUUUGUGUUAUUUCGUGUCUUAUCCGUUACCAAACUCGUUAUUUUAAUGGUUCUUAACCUGUGACUCAAUAACGACCCGAUUAGUUAACGAGUCGUGUCGUUUCGUGUCAGGUUAACAGAUUAGCAAGAAAUUGUCAUGCGUAAUGUCUAGAUCUGACAAAUGAUAUCUUAUUGGAUUCUUAACGGACGACCCGACAAUGACGUGACGUGCUAAUAGAUUUUUAACAAGUUACUUGAUAACGACUCGACUUAACAAGUUAACCCGAAAUUCCUUAUUUCGUAUUGUUCGUAUCAGAUUAACGGGUCGCAUAACAAAUUGUUUGGGCUACCUACUCGAAUACGGGAUCUUAUCCUUAUGCAAACGUGGAAGAUCAAUGAUUUGAUAUUAAUGGACCAUUAUCCAAUAAUCAAUUUCUUAACGCAAUGAUCAUAAAUUGUCACUUAAACUGAUACAAAGAAAAGUUCAAUUUUAUUUUUGUCUUAGAAAGUAAAUAGUCGGCCUCCACGUGUGAUGAAUGUAAAGAAAGUAACGCGUUUUUGUUUAUUUUUGGCGCGUAGUUGGUGGGAGAGUAGUGAGUACGUGGACACAGAUCAGCGCACUUGAUAAACUAAUUCAAAGAGUUAUGGGUAUUGGGCUCGGACCUGACUUCUCUACCCUUCCAGUUUUCAUACACUAUCAUUCCCUCUUAUUUGUACUGUCACAGUUAAGUCACGUCAAUAUUUUAUAUAACUAUUGCUUUUUAUCUUAUUAUCCCUAUAAAAAAUCAAUAUAAAAUGUGGACAUGGCUUAACCAUGACCGCACAAAAUAGGAGGGGAUGAGAGUGUAUGAGAACUGGAAGGGCAAAGAAACCGGGUCCAUUGAGCUCUAGCACCUAGGAGAAUAAUUACAAUUCAACGAAUUGGAACCAGGGGCUGAUCAUCUUGGAACAAGUGGGUCAGCUAUCCUCAAGCUAAGAAAUCUUUUAUGGAAGAGUUGGAUGAUGUCUUUCGACUGCUCGAUGAAUUACUUCUAUAGCUACUGAAUAGGAUAGUUGCUAGCUAAAUGUCUUUGUAUGCGUUGCUAUGAGAAUUUGUCGAUAGGUUCACUCAGCUUGCUUGCUAAAAAUUAUUGACAUCAAUGGAUAUGCUUAUUCGAAAGUUAUUGACAUAUGUCGACAAGUGUGGAAGUUAUUGACAUAUGUCGACAAGUGUGCGAUAUGACUUGGUAAAUAACUUAUAGCCUAUCAAGGCUUGAUGAAAUGUCAAUUUGCAUGCUUUCCUUCCAAAAAAGAUUACGCGUUGCACAUGUUACUUUUACUGAUAACAUAAAGUUCUUUUAUUUUUUUGUUGCAAAACCCUGAUUUUGUUUAUCCUUAUUAUGUGUUAUCCACUUACGAAAUCCGAAAGGUUAUGUUUGAGUGAUAGUAUAUAUGUGUGUGCGCCCCAAGAUUUAGUGUAUUAGUUGAGUAGUCGAACAAUUUCUUUCACUAUUUCUCUUUGUGUCUGUCAAUAAUUUAACUGUUUCAUGGACUUUCAAUUGUGCAGUUCAAUUCCUACACACCCACCUCCCUCAGCAACACAAACAGUCCGCCUUAGGAACUUUGAAUUUGGCAGUACAGGUGUUGAUAAUGAACAACCACAAGGGUAUGCUUCAGUUGAUUUUGAUUUUAUUUCUCUUUUAAGAAUAAUUCCUUUCAGUUUUUUUCUCACUCGAAAUCAACGGAGUGAUCGGUUCAGUUCUCAUAGCAAUUUAAUAUAAAAGCAAAAUCAAUUUGUUGGGUUUUUAUUUAAGUGUGUAACCUUUAAAUUUUGAAAGCGAUUAUCAACUAUCAUAAAGUUCUUUUAUUUUUUUGUAGCAAAACCCUGUUUUUGUUUAUCCUUAUUAUGUGUUAUCCACUUACGAAAUCCGAAAUGUUAUGUUUGAGUGAUAGUGUAUAUGUGCGUGCGCCCAAAGAUUUAGUGUAUUGGUUGAGUAGUCGAACCAUUUCUUUCUCUAUUUCUCUCUGUGUCUGUCAAUAAUUUAACUGUUUCAUGGAAUUUCAAUUGUGCAGUUCAAUUCCUACACACCCACCUCCCUCAGCAACACAAACAGUCCGCCUCAUGAACUUUGAAUUUGGCAGUACAGGUGUUCAUAAUGAACAACCACAAGGGUAUGCUUCAGUUGAUUUUGGUUUUAUUUCUCUUUUAAGAAUAAGUCCUUUCAGUUUUUUUCUCACUUGAAAUCAACGGAGUGAUCGGUUCAGUUCUCCUAGCAAUUUGAUAUAAAACCAAAAUCAAUUUGUUGAGUUUUUAUUUAAGUGUGUAACCUUUAAAUAUUGAAAGCGAUUAUCAACUAUCAUAAAGUUCUUUUAUUUUUUUGUUGCAAAACCCUGUUUUUGUUUAUCCUUAUUAUGUGUUAUCCACUUACGAAAUCCGAAAGGUUAUGUUUGAGUGAUAGUGUAUAUGUGUGUGCGCCCCAAGAUUUAGUGUAUUAGUUGAGUAGUCGAAUCAUUUCUUUCUCUAUUUCUCUCUGUGUCUGUCAAUAAUUUAACUGUUUCAUGGACUUUCAAUUGUGCAGUUCAAUUCCUACACACCCACCUCCCUCAGCAACACAAACAGUCCGUCUCAGGAACUUUGAAUUUGGCAGUACAGGUGUUGAUAAUGAACAACAACAAGGGUAUGCUUCAGUUGAUUUUGGUUUUAUUUCUCUUUUAAGAAUAAUUCCUUUCAGUUUUUUUCUCACUCGAAAUCAACGGAGUGAUCGGUUCAGUUCUCAUAGCAAUUUGAUAUAAAACAAAAAUCAAUUUGUUGGGUUUUUAUUUAAGUGUGUAACCUUUAAAUUUUGAAAGCGAUUAUCAACUAUCAUAAAGUUCUUUUCUUUUUUUGUUGCAAAACCCUGUUUUUGUUUAUCCUUAUUAUGUGUUAUUCACUUACGAAAUCCGAAAGGUUAUGUUUGAGUGAUAGUGUAUAUGUGUGUGCGCCCAAAGAUUUAGUGUAUUAGUUGAGUAGUCGAACCAUUUCUUUCUCUAUUUCUCUCUGUGUCUGUCAAUAAUUUAACUGUUUCAUGGACUUUCAAUUGUGCAGUUCAAUUCCUACACACCCACCUCCCUCAGCAACACAAACAGUCCGCCUCAGGAACUUUGAAUUUGGCAGUACAAGUGUUGAUAAUGAACAACCACAAGGGUAUGCUUCAGUUGAUUUUGGUUUUAUUUCUCUUUUAAGAACAAGUCCUUUCAGUUUUUUUCUCACUCGAAAUCAACGGAGUGAUCGGUUCAGUUCUCAUAGCAAUUUGAUAUAAAAGCAAAAUCAAUUUGUUGGGUUUUUAUUUAAGUGUGUAACCUUUAAAUAUUGAAUGCGAUUGUCAACUAUCAAAAAGUUCUUUUAUUUUUUUGUUGCAAAACUCUGUUUUUGUUUAUCCUUAUGAUGUGUUAUCCACUUACGAAAUCCGAAAGGUUAUGUUUGAGUGAUAGUGUACAUGUGUGUGCGCCCCAAGAUUUAGUGUAUUAGUUAAGUAGUCGAACCAUUUCUUUCUCUAUUUCUCUCUGUGUCUGUCAAUAAUUUAACUGUUUCAUGGACUUUCAAUUAUGCAGUUCAAUUUCCUACACACCCACCUCCCUCAGCAACACAAACAGUCCGCCUCAGGAACUUUGAAUAUGGCAGUACAGGUGUUGAUAAUGACAAACCACAAGGGUAUGCAGUUCAAUUCCUACACACCCACCUCCCUCAGCAACACAAACAGUCCGACUCAGGAACUUUGAAUUUUGCAGUACAAGUGUUGAUAAUGGCAAACCACAAGGGUAUGCUUCAGUUGAUUUUGGUUUUAUUUCACUUUUAAGAAUAAUUCCUUUCAGUUUUUUCUCUCUCGAAAUCAACGGAGUGAACGGUUAAGUUCUCAUAGCAAUUUGAUAUAGAACCAAAAUCAAUUUGUUGGGUUUUUAUUUAAGUGUGUAACCUUUAAAUUUUGAAAGCGAUUAUCAACUAUCAUAAAGUUCUUUUAUUUUUUUGUUGCAAAACCCUGUUUUUGUUUAUCCUUAUUAUGUGUUAUCCACUUACGAAAUCCGAAAUGUUAUGUUUGAGUGAUAGUGUAUAUGUGUGUGCGCCCAAAGAUUUAGUGUAUUAGUUGACUAGUCGAACCAUUUCUUUCUCUAUUUCUCUCUGUGUCUGUCAAUAAUUUAACUGUUUCAUGGACUUUCAAUUGUGCAAUUCAAUUCCUACACAUCCACCUCCCUCAGCAACACAAACAGUCCACCUCAGGAACUUUGAAUUUGGCAGUACAGGUGUUGAUAAUGAACAACCACAAGGGUAUGCUUCAGUUGAUUUUGGUUUUAUUUCUCUUUUCAGAAUAAUUCCUUUCAGUUUUUUUCUCACUCGAAAUCAACGGAGUGAUCGGUUCAAUUCUCAUAGCAAUUUGAUAUAAAACCAAAAUCAAUUUGUUGGGUUUUUAUUUUUAAGUGUGUAACAUUUAAAUUUUUUAAGCGAUUAUCAACUAUCAUAAAGUUCUUUUAUUUUUUUGUUGCAAAACCCUGUUUUUGGUUUAUCCUUAUUAUGUGUUAUCGACUUACGAAAUCCGAAAGGUUAUGUUUGAGUGAUAAUGUAUAUGUGUGUGCGCCGCUAGAUUUAGUGUAUUAGUUGAGUAGUCGAACCAUUUCUUUCUCUAUUUCUCUCUGUGUCUGUCAAUAAUUUAACCGUUUCAUGGACUUUCAAUUGUGCAGUUCAAUUCCUACACACCCACCUCCCUCAGCAACACAAAUAGUCCGCCUCAGGAACUUUGAAUUUGGCAGUACAGGUGUUGAUAAUGACAAACCACAAGGGUAUGCUUCAGUUGAUUUUGGUCUUAUUUCUCUUUUAAGAAUAAUUCCUUUCAGUUUUUUCUCACUUGAAAUGAACGGAGUGAUCGGUUCAGUUCACAUAGCAAUUUGAUAUAAAAGCAAAAUCAAUUUGUUGGGUUUUUAUUUAAGUGUGUAACCUUUAAAUUUUGAAAGCGAUUAUCAACUAUUAUAAAGUUCUUUUAUUUUUUUGUUGCAAAACCCUGUUUUUGUUUAUCCUUAUUAUGUGUUAUCCACUUACGAAAUCCGAAAUGUUAUGUUUGAGUGAUAGUGUAUAUGUGUGUGCGCCCAAAGAUUUAGUGUAUUAGUUGACUAGUCGAACCAUUUCUUUCUCUAUUUCUUUCUGUGUCUGUAAAUAAUUUAACUUUUUCAUGGACUUUCAAUUGUGGAAUUCAAUUCCUACACAUCCACGUCCCUCAGCAACACAAACCGUCCACCUCAGGAACUUUGAAUUUGGCAGUACAGGUGUAGAUAAUGAACAACCACAAGGGUAUGCUUCAGUUGAUUUUGGUUUUAUUUCUCUUUUAAGAAUAAUUCCUUUCAGUUUUUUUCUCACUCAAAAUCAACGGAGUGAUCGGUUCUGUUCUCAUAGCAAUUUGAUAUAUAACCAAAAUCAAUUUGUUGGGUUUUUGUUUAAGUGUGUAACCUUUAAAUUUUGAAAGCGAUUAUCAACUAUCAUAAAGUUCUUUUAUUUUUUUGUUGCAAAACCCUGUUUUUGUUUAUCCUUAUUAUGUGUUAUCCACUUACGAAAUCCAAAAGGUUAUGUUUGAGUGAUAGUGUAUAUAUGUGUGCGCCCAAAGAUUUAGUGUAUUAGUUGAGUAGUCGAACCAUUUCUUUCUCUAUUUCUCUCUGUGUCUGUCAAUAAUUUAACUGUUUCAUGGACUGUCAAUUGUGCAGUUCAAUUCCUACACACCCACCUCCCUCAGCAACACAAACAGUCCGCCUCAGGAACUUUGAAUUUGGCAGUACAAGUGUUGAUAAUGAACAACUACAAGGGUAUGCUUCAGAUGAUUUUGGUUUUAUUUCUCUUUUAAGAAUAAUUUCUUUCAGUUUUUUUCUCACUCGAAAUCAACGGAUUGACCGGUUCAGUUCUCAUAGCAAUUUGAUAUAAAACCAAAAUCAAUUUGUUGGGUUUUUAUUUAAGUGUGUAACCUUUAAAUUUUGAAAGCGAUUGUCAAGCAUCAUAAAGUUCUUUUAUUUUUUUGUUGAAAAAACCCUGUUUUUGGUUUAUCCUUAUUAUGUGUUAUCGACUUACGAAAUCCAUGAGGUUAUGUUUGAGUGAUAAUGUAUAUGUGUAUUAGUUGAGUAGUCGAACCAUUUCUUUCUCUAUUUCUCUCUGUGUCUGUCAAUAAUUUAACUGUUUCAUGGACUUUCAAUUGUGCAGUUUAAUUCCUACACACCCACCUCCCUCAACAAUAAAAACUGUCCGCCCCAGGAAUUUUGAAUUUGGCAGUACAGGUGUUGAUAAUGAACAACCACAAGGGUAUGCUUCAGUUGAUUUUGGUUUUAUUUCUCUUUUAAGAAUAAUUCCUUUCAGUUUUUUUCUCACUCGAAAUCAACGGAGUGAUCGGUUCAGUUCUCAUACCAAUUUGAUAUAAAACCAAAAUCAAUUUGUUGGGUUUUUAUUUAAGUGUGUAACCUUUAAAUGUUGAAAGCGAUUAUCAACUAUCAUAAAGUUCUUUUAUUUUUUUGUUGCAAAACCCUGUUUUUGUUUAUCCUUAUUAUGUGUUAUCCACUUACGAAAUCCGAAAUGUUAUGUUUGAGUGAUAGUGUAUAUGUGUGUGCGCCCAAAGAUUUAGUGUAUUAGUUGACUAGUCGAACCAUUUCUUUCUCUAUUUCUCUCUGUGUCUGUCAAUAAUUUAACUGUUUCAUGGACUUUCAAUUGUGCAAUUCAAUUCCUACACAUCCACCUCCCUCAGCAACACAAACAGUCCACCUCAGGAACUUUGAAUUUGGCAGUACAGGUGUUGAUAAUGAACAACCACAAGGAUAUGCUUCAGAUGAUUUUGGUUUUAUUUCUCUUUUCAGAAUAAUUUCUUUCAGUUUUUUUCUCACUCGAAAUCAACGGAUUGAUCGGUUCAGUUCUCAUAGCAAUUUGAUAUAAAACCAAAAUCAAUUUGUUGGGUUUUUAUUUAAGUGUGUAACCUUUAAAUUUUGAAAGCGAUUGUCAAGCAUCAUAAAGUUCUUUUAUUUUUUUGUUGAAAAAACCCUGUUUUUGGUUUAUCCUUAUUAUGUGUUAUCGACUUACGAAAUCCAUAAGGUUAUGUUUGAGUGAUAAUGUAUAUGUGUAUUAGUUGAGUAGUCGAAUCAUUUCUUUCUCUAUUUCUCUCUGUGUCUGUCAAUAAUUUAACUGUUUCAUGGACUUUCAAUUGUGCAGUUUAAUUCCUACACACCCACCUCCCUCAACAAUAAAAACUGUCCGCCCCAGGAAUUUUGAAUUUGGCAGUACAGGUGUUGAUAAUGAACAACCACAAGGGUAUGCUUCAGUUGAUUUUGGUUUUAUUUCUCUUUUAAGAAUAAUUCCUUUCAGUUUUUUUCUCACUCGAAAUCAACGGAGUGAUCGGUUCAGUUCUCAUACCAAUUUGAUAUAAAACCAAAAUCAAUUUGUUGGGUUUUUAUUUAAGUGUGUAACCUUUAAAUGUUGAAAGCGAUUAUCAACUAUCAUAAAGUUCUUUUAUUUUUUGGUUGCAAAACCCUGUUUUUGUUUAUCCUUAUUAUGUGUUAUCCACUUACGAAAUCUGAAAGGUUAUGUUUGAGUGAUAGUAUAUAUGUGUGUGCGCCCCAAGAUUUAGUGUAUUAGUUGAGCAGUCGAACCAUUUCUUUCUCUAUUUCUCUCUGUGUCUGUCAAUAAUUUAACUGUUUCAUGGACUGUCAAUUGUGCAGUUCAAUUCCUACACACCCACCUCCCUCAGCAACACAAACAGUCCGCAUCAGGAACUUUGAAUUUGGCAGUACAAGUGUUGAUAAUGAACAACCACAAGGGUAUGCUUCAGAUGAUUUUGGUUUUAUUUCUCUUUUCAGAAUAAUUUCUUUCAGUUUUUUUCUCACUCGAAAUCAACGGAUUGAUCGGUUCAGUUCUCAUAGCAAUUUGAUAUAAAACCAAAAUCAAUUUGUUGGGUUUUUAUUUAAGUGUGUAACCUUUAAAUUUUGAAAGCGAUUGUCAACCAUCAUAAAGUUCUUUUAUUUUUUUGUUGAAAAAACCCUGUUUUUGGUUUAUCCUUAUUAUGUGUUAUCGACUUACGAAAUCCAUAAGGUUAUGUUUGAGUGAUAAUGUAUAUGUGUGUGCGCCCAAAGAUUUAGUGUAUUAGUUGAGUAGUCGAACCAUUUCUUUCUCUAUUUCUCUCUUUGUCUGUCAAUAAUUUAACUGUUUCAUGGACUUUCAAUUGUGCAGUUUAAUUCCUACACACCCACCUCUCUCAACAAUAAAAACUUUCCGCCCCAGGAAUUUUGAAUUUGGCAGUACAGGUGUUGAUAAUGAACAACCACAAGGGUAUGCUUUAGUUGAUUUUGGUUUUAUUUCUCUUUUAAGAAUAAUUCCUUUAAGUUUUUUUCUCACUCGAAAUCAACGGAGUGAUCGGUUCAGUUCUCAUACCAAUUUGAUAAAAAACCAAAAUCAAUUUGUUGGGUUUUUAUUUAAGUGUGUAACCUUUAAAUUUUGAAAGCGAUUAUCAACUAUCAUAAAGUUCUUUUAUUUUUUUGUUGCAAAACCCUGUUUUUGUUUAUCCUUAUUAUGUGUUAUCCACUUACGAAAUCUGAAAGGUUAUGUUUGAGUGAUAGUAUAUAUGUGUGUACGCCCCAAGAUUUAGUGUAUUAGUUGAGCAGUCGAACCAUUUCUUUCUCUAUUUCUCUCUGUGUCUGUCAAUAAUUUAACUGUUUCAUAGACUUUCAAUUGUGCAGUUCAAUUCCUACACACCCACCUCCCUCAGCAACACAAAUAGUCCGCCUCAGAAACUUAGAAUUUGGCAGUACAGGUGUUGAUAAUGACAAACCACAAGGGUAUGCUUCAGUUGAUUUUGGUUUUAUUUCUCUUUUAAGAAUAAUUCCUUUCAGUUUUUUCUCACUCGAAAUCAACGGAGUGAUCGGUUCAGUUCUCAUAGCAAUUUGAUAUAAAACCAAAAUCAAUUUGUUGGGUUUUUAUUUAAGUGUGUAACCUUUAAAUUUUGAAAGCGAUUAUCAACUAUGAUAAAGUUUUUUUAUUUUUUUGUUGGAAAAACCUGUUUUUGUUUAUCCUUAUUAUGUGUUAUCCAUUUAUGAAAUCCGAAAUGUUAUGUUUGAGUGAUAGUGCAUAUGCUUGUGCGCCCAAAGAUUUAGUGUAUUAGUUGACUAGCCGAACAAUUUCUUUCUCUAUUUCUCUCUGUGUCUGUCAAUAAUUUAACCGUUUCAUGGACUUUCAAUUGUGCAAUUCAAUUCCUACACAUCCAACUCCCUCAGCAACAUAAACAGUCCACCUCAGAAACUUUGAAUUUGGCAGUAUAGGUGUUGAUAAUGAACAACCACAAGGGUAUGCUUCAGUUGAUUUUGGUUUUAUUUAUCUUUUAAGAAUAAUUCCUUUCAGUUUUUUUCUCACUCGAAAUCAACGGAGUGAUCAAUUCAGUUCUCAUAGCAAUUUGAUAUAAAACCAAAAUCAAUUUGUUGGGUUUUUAUUUAAGUGUGUAACCUUUAAAUUUCGAAAGCGAUUAUCAACUAUCAUAAAGUUCUUUUAUUUUUUUGUUGCAAAACCCUGUUUUUGUUUAUCCUUAUUAUGUGUUAUCCACUUACGAAAUUCAAAAGGUUAUGUUUGAGUGAUAAUGUAUAUAUGUGUGCGCCCAAAGAUUUAGUGUAUUAGUUGAGUAGUCGAACCAUUUCUUUCUCUAUUUCUCUCUGUGUCUGUCAAUAAUUUAACUGUUUCAUGGACUGUCAAUUGUGAAGUUCAAUUCCUACACACCCACCUCCCUCAGCAACACAAACAGUCCGCCUCAGGAACUUUGAAUUUGUCAGUACAAGUGUUGAUAAUGAACAACCACAAGGGUAUGCUUCAGUUGAUUUUUGUUUUAUUUCUCUUUUAAGAAUAAUUCCUUUCAGUUUUUUUCUCACUCGAAAUCAACGGAGUGAUCGGUUCAGUUCUCAUAGCAAUUUGAUAUAAAACCAAAAUCAAUUUGUUGGGUUUUUAUUUAAGUGUGUAACCUUUAAAUUUUGUAAGCGAUCAUCAACUAUCAUAAAGUUCUUUUAUUUUUUUGUUGCAAAACCCUGUGUUUGUUUAUCCUUAUUAUGUGUUAUCCACUUACGAAAUCUGAAAGGUUAUGUUUGAGUGAUAGUGUAUAUGUGUGUGUGCCCCAAGAUUUAGUGUAUUAGUUGAGCAGUCGAGCCAUUUCUUUCUCUAUUUCUCUCUGUGUCUGUCAAUAAUUUAACUGUUUCAUGGACUUUCAAUUGUGCAGUUCAAUUCCUACACACCCACCUCCCUCAGCAACAUAAAUAGUCCGCCUCAGGAACUUUGAAUUUGGCGGUACAGGUGUUAAUCAUGACAAACCACAAGGGUAUGCUUCAGUUGAUUUUGGUUUUAUUUCUCUUUUAAGAAUAAUUCCUUUCAGUUUUUUUCUCACUCAAAAGCAACGGAGUGAUCGGUUCUGUUCUCAUAGCAAUUUGAUAUAUAACCAAAAUCAUUUUGUUGGGUUUUUGUUUAAGUGUGUAACCUUUAAAUUUUGAAAGCGAUUAUCAACUAUCAUAAAGUUCUUUUAAUUUUUUUGUUGCAAAACCCUGUUUUUGUUUAUCCUUAUUAUGUGUUAUCCACUUACGAAAUCCAAAAGGUUAUGUUUGAGUGAUAGUGUAUAUAUGUGUGCGCCCAAAGAUUUAGUAUAUUAGUUAACUAGUCGAACCAUUUCGUUCUCUAUUUCUCUCUGUGUCUGUCAAUAAUUUAACUGUUUCAUGGACUGUCAAUUGUGCAGUUCAAUUCCUACACACCCACCUACCUCAGCAACACAAACAGUCCGCCACAGGAACUUUGAAUUUGGCAGUACAAGUGUUGAUAAUGAACAACCACAAGGGUAUGCUUCAGAUGAUUUUGGUUUUAUUUCUCUUUUCAGAAUAAUUUCUUUCAGUUUUUUUCUCACUCGAAAUCAACGGAGUGAUCGCUUCAGUUCUCAUAACAAUUUGAUAUAAAACCAAAAUCAAUUUGUUGUGUUUUUAUUUAAGUGUAACCUUUAAAUUUUGAAAGCGAUUAUCAACUAUUAUAAAGUUCUUUUAUUUUUUUUGUUGCAAAACCUUGUUUUUGUUUAUCCUUAUUAUGUGUUAUCCACUUAUGAAAUCCGAAAGGUUAUGUUUGAGUGAUAGUGUAUAUGUGUGUGCGCCCAAAGAGUUAGUGUAUUAGUUGACUAGUCGAACCAUUUCUUUCUCUAUUUCUCUCUGUGUCUGUAAAUAAUUUAACUGUUUCAUGGACUUUCAAUUGUGCAGUUCAAUUCCUCCACAUGCACCUCCCUCAGCAACACAAACAGUCCACCUCAGGAACUUUGAAUUUGGCAGUAUAGGUGUUGAUAAUGAACAACCACAAGGGUAUGCUUCAGUUGAUUUUGGUUUUAUUUCUCUUUUAAGAAUAAUUCCUUUCAGUUUUUUUCUCACUCGAAAUCAACGGAGUGAUUUGUUCUGUUCUCAUAGCAAUUUGAUAUAAAACCAAAAUCAAUUUGUUGGGUUUUUAUUUAAGUGUAACCUUUAAAUUUUGAAAGCGAUUAUCAACUAUUAUAAAGUUCUUUUAUUUUUUUUGUUGCAAAACCCUGUUUUUGUUUAUCCUUAUUAUGUGUUAUCCACUUAUGAAAUCCGAAAUGUUAUGUUUGAGUUAUAGUGUAUAUGUGUGUGCGCCCAAAGAUUUAGUGUAUUAGUUGACUAGUCGAAACAUUUCUUUCUCUAUUUCUCUCUGUGUCUGUAAAUAAUUUAAUUGUUUCAUGGACUUUCAAUUGUGCAAUUCAAUUCCUACACAUCCACCUCCCUCAGCAACACAAACAGUCCAACUCAGGAACUUUGAAUUUGGCAGUACAAGUGUUGAUAAUGAACAACCACAAGGGUAUGCUUCUGUUGAUUUUGGUUUUAUUUCUCUUUUAAGAAUAAUUCCUUUCAGUUUUUUUCUCACUCGAAAUCAACGCAGUGAUUGGUUCUGUUCUCAUAGCAAUUUGAUAUAAAACCAAAAUCAAUUUUUUGGGUUUUUAUUUAAGUGUGUAACCUUUAAAUUUUGAAAGCGAUUAUCAACUAUCAUAAAGUUCUUUUAUUUUUUUGUUGCAAAACCCUGUUUUUGUUUAUCCUUAUUAUGUGUUAUCCACUUACGAAAUCCGAAAGGUUAUGUUUGAGUGAUAGUGUAUAUAUGUGUGCGCCCAAAGAUUUAGUGUAUUAGUUGAGUAGUCGAACCAUUUCUUUCUCUAUUUCUCUCUGUGUCUGUCAAUAAUUUAACUGUUUCAUGGACUGUCAAUUGUGCAGUUGAAUUCCUACACACCCACCUCCAUCAGCAACGCAAACAGUCAGCCUCAGGAACUUUGAAUUUGACAGUACAAGUGUUGAUAAUGAACAACCACAAGGGUAUACUUCAGUUGAUUUUGGUUUUAUUUCUCUUUUAAGAAUAAUUUCUUUCGGUUUUUUUCUCACUCGAAAUCAACGGAGUGAUUGGUUCUGUUCUCAUAGCAAUUUGAUAUAAAACCAAAAUCAAUUUGUUGGGUUUUUAUUUAAGUGUAACCUUUAAAUUUUUAAAGCGAUUAUCAACUAUUAUAAAGUUCUUUUAUUUUUUUUUGUUGCAAAACCCUGUUUUUGUUUAUCCUUAUUAUGUGUUAUCCACUUAUGAAAUCCGAAAUGUUAUGUUUGAGUGAUAGUGUAUAUGUGUGUGCGCCCAAAGAUUUAGUGUAUUAGUUGACUAGUCGAACCAUGUCUUUCUCUAUUUCUCUCUGUGUCUGUAAAUAAUUUAACUGUUUCAUGGACUUUCAAUUGUGCAAUUCAAUUCCUCCACAUGCACCUCCCUCAGCAACACAAACAGUCCACCUCAGGAACUUUGAAUUUGGCAGUACAAGUGUUGAUAAUGAACAACCACAAGGGUAUGCUUCAGUUGAUUUUGGUUUUAUUUCUCUUUUAAGAAUAAUUCCUUUCAGUUUUUUUCUCAAUCGAAAUCAACGGAGUGAUUGGUUCUGUUCUCAUAGCAAUUUGAUAUAAAACCAAAAUCAAUUUGUUGGGUUUUUAUUUAAGUGUGUAACCUUUAAAUUUUGAAAGCGAUUAUCAACUAUCAUAAAGUUCUUUUAUUUUUUUGUUGCAAAACCCUGUUUUUGUUUAUCCUUAUUAUGUGUUAUCCACUUACGAAAUCCGGAAGGUUAUGUUUGAGUGAUAGUGUAUAUAUGUGUGCGCCCAAAGAUUUAGUGUAUUAGUUGAGUAGUCGAACCAUUUCUUUCUCUAUUUCUCUCUGUGUCUGUCAAUAAUUUAACUGUUUCAUGGACUGUCAACUGUGCAGUUCAAUUCCUACACACCCACCUCCCUCAGCAACACAAACUGUCCGCCUCAGGAACUUUGAAUUUGGCAGUACAAGUGUUGAUAAUGAACAACCACAAGGAUAUGCUUCAGUUGAUUUUGGUUUUAUUUCUCUUUUCUGAAUAAUUCCUUUCAGUUUUUUUCUCACUCGAAAUCAACGGAGUGAUCGGUUCAGUUCUUAUAGCAAUUUGAUAUACAACCAAAAUCAAUUUGUUGGGUUUUUAUUUAAGUGUGUAACCUUUAAAUUUUGAAAGCGAUUGUCAACUAUCAUAAAGUUCUUUUAUUUUUUUGUUGAAAAAACCCUGUUUUUGGUUUAUCCUUAUUAUGUGUUAUCGACUUACGAAAUCCGAAAGGUUAUGUUUGAGUGAUAAUGUAUAUGUGUGUGCGCCAAAAGAUUUAGUGUAUUAGUUGAGUAGUCGAACAAUUUCUUUCUCUAUUUCUCUCUGUGUCUGUCAAUAAUUUGACUGUUUCAUGGACUUUCAAUUGUGCAGUUCAAUUCCUAUACACCCACCUCCCUCAGCAACAGAAACUGUCCGCCUCAGGAAUUUUGAAUUUGGCAGUACAGGUGUUGAUAAUGAACAACCACAAGGGUAUGCUUCAGUUGAUUUUGGUUUUAUUUCUCUUUUAAGAAUAAUUCCUUUCAGUUUUUUUCUCACUCGAAAUCAACGGAAUGAUCGGUUCAGUUCUCAUAGCAAUUUGAUAUAAAACCAAAAUGAAUUUGUUGGGUUUUUAUUUAAGUGUGUAACCUUUAAAUUUUGAAAGCGAUUAUCAACUAUCAUAAAGUUCUUUUAUUUUUUUUAUGCAAAACCCUGUUUUUGUUUAUCCUGAUUAUGUGUUAUCCACUUACGAAAUCGGAAAGGUUAUGUUUGAGUGAUAGUGUAUAUGUGUGUGCGCCCCAAGAUUUAGUGUAUUAGUUGAGUAGUCGAACCAUUUCUUUCUCUAUUUCUCUCUGUGUCUGUCAAUAAUUUAACUGUUUCAUGGACUUUCAAUUGUGCAGUUCAAUUCCUACACACCCACCUCCCUCAGCAACACAAACAGUCCGCCUCAGGAACUUUGAAUUUGGCAGUACAGGUGUUGAUAAUGAACAACCACAAGGGUAUGCUUCGGUUGAUUUUGGUUUUAUUUCUCUUUUAAGAAUAAUUCCUUUCAUUUUUUUUCUCACUCGAAAUUAAUGGAGUGAUCGGUUCAGUUCUCAUAGCAAUUUGAUAUAAAACCAAAAUCAAUUUGUUGGGUUUUUAUUUAAGUGUGUAACCUUUAAAUUUUGAAAGCGAUUAUCAACUAUCAUAAAGUUCUUUUAUUUUUUUGUUGCAAAACCCUAUUUUUGUUUAUCCUUAUUAUGUGUUAUCCACUUACGAAAUCUGAAAGGUUAUGUUUGAGUGAUAGUGUAUAUGUGUGUGCGCUACAAGAUUUAGUGUAUUAGGUGAGUAGUCGAACCAUUUCUUUCUCUAUUUCUCUCUGUGUCUGUCAAUAAUUUAACUGUUUCAUGGACUUUCAAUUGUGCAAUUCAAUUCCUACACACCCACCUCCCUCACCAACACAAACAGUCUGCCUCAGGAACUUUGAAUUUGGCAGUACAAGUGUUGAUAAUGAACAACCACAAGGUUAUGCUUCAGUUGAUUUUGGUUUUAUUUCUCUUUUAAGAAUAAUUCCUUUCAGUUUUUUUCUCACUCGAAAUCAACGGAGUGAUCGAUUCAGUUCUUAUAGCAAUUUGAUAUAAAACCAAAAUCAAUUUGUUGGGUUUUUAUUUAAGUGUGUAACCUUUAAAUUUUGAAAGCGAUUAUCAACUAUCAAAAAGUUCUUUUAUUUUUUUGUUGCAAAACCCUGUUUUUGUUUUUCCUUAUUAUGUGUUAUCCACUUACGAAAUCCGAAAGGUUAUGUUUGAGUGAUAAUGUAUAUGUGUGUGCGCCCCAAGAUUUAGUGUAUUAGUUGAGUAGUCGAACAAUUUCUUUCUCUAUUUCUCUUUGUGUCUGUCAAUAAUUUAACUGUUUCAUGGACUUUCAAUUGUGCAGUUCAAUUCCUACACACCCACCUCCCUCAACAACACAAACAGUCAGCCUCAGGAACUUUGAAUUUGGCAGUACAGGUGUUGAUAAUGAACAACCACAAGGGUAUGCUUCAGUUGAUUUUGGUUUUAUUUCUCUUUUAAGCAUAAUUCCUUUCAGUUUUUUUCUCACUCGAAAUCAACGGAGUGAUCGGUUCAGUUCUCAUAGCAAUUUGAUAUAAAACCAAAAUUAAUUUGUUGGGUUUUUAUUUAAGUGUGUAACCUUUAAAUUUUGAAAGCGAUUAUCAACUAUCAUAAAGGUCUUUUAUUUUUUUUGUUGCAAAACCCUGUUUUUGUUUAUGCUUAUUAUGUGUUAUCCACUUGCGAAAUCUGAAAGGUUAUGUUUGAGUGAUGUGUAUAUGUGUGUGCGCCCCAAGAUUUAGUGUAUUAGUUGAGUAGUCGAACCAUUUCUUUCUCUAUUUCUCUCUCUGUCUGUCAAUAAUUUAACUGUUUCAUGGACUUUCAAUUGUGCAAUUCAAUUCCUACACACCCACCUCCCUCAGCAACACAAACUGUCCACUUUGAAUUUUGCAGUACAAGUGUUCCACAGCCUCCAUUAGCAACACAAACAGUCCGCCCCAGGAACCUUGUAUUGGGCGGUUCAAGUGUUGCACACCUACCUGUAUCGGCAGCACAAACAGUCCAACGUGGACGUCAUACGCAAACAAGGAUUCGAAUCAAUGUAGCUACGAAGGGAAGGCGGCGGUCGUACAAAUUUCAUGUGGAUCCGAAUGGGAAGGUGGCUGGCCUAAGGGUGCUGCUUGUGAACGAGACAAACGAUCUACCACUGGAUUACGACUUUUUCUUCAAUCGGGAUUACUUGAAAGAAGAUGUAAGUUUUCAAGCACAAGGGAUGGUAGAGGGUGCGAGAGUCCCAAAAAUUGAAGUGAUGGACUUCAGCGCCAAUUUCUAACUCAGAAAAGUAUCACUCGACGAUGCAGGAGGGUUUUUUCGGUAAUAUUGUUUUGAUCAAAAUUGAAGUGAUGGACUUCAGCGUCUAUUUAUACAGCUUACUAUGGCGUUCCCAUUUCUUGUUUUGAUCAAAAUUUUAUUAUCGGUUUUAUUUGUUCAUAAUUCUUUGAUGGAUGGAAAAGUGAAUAGAAAUUGAAGUUAGAAAAUUUGAUAUGUUGUUGAGUAGACCAUUACCCUUGCAAAAAGUUUGGGACCUUGUUGUCAAAUUUCUCACUGAGCAUUUGAGUUCAUGAUGAUCAUAUGGCUCAAUGGUUUCAAGCUAAGAAAGCAGCGUCCGUAAACAUUAUAUAUUAUUACUUCCUUUAAUUUCAUUGACUUACUUCAUUAGUAUAAACCAAACCCUCCAAGUGAACACAACAUAUACCUAUUAAAAUUUGGACCAAGAAAAACAAAUAAUGGAUAAUAGUGUUCAAAUUUGAACAACUUAUAAAAAGUCUUGUCCCGUUCCACGCAUAAAAUUGUACCAAACAAGAGAUGGAACAUGGGUAUUUUAGUCAUUUUAAUCUUUUGGUUCCGUUCCGUCUUGUUCGGUCUUGCGCGUACCAAAUAUAACACAAAACAUCCGUUCCGUCCCGUCCCGUCCCGUCCCGUCCCAUCCGGUCUGCGUACCAAACGCUACCUAUCAGCACCACUAUGCCAGUCGGUUGGACUUCUAGUCAUGCAUGCACCUAGAUGUUCCUAAACGUAUUUUUGAUGUGAUGCACGGGACAAAUAUGUUUUACAAUCAUUGUCCAUAAGAUAUUAUUGUGUUGGAACAAGACAAAUAUUGGUCACUUACGUUACGUGUACCUUAAUUCUGCACAUCAUUUUUCACGAGUAAACAGUUAAAAUUUAACAAAAUAGUGUGUUUUGAUUCUUUUACUUUAUGAGCCAAUAAGCCAGGAGGAAGAGGAGUGCAGAUAAGCCAAAUUACACACGUUGCAAAUUGCAGGGGAAGCCAACAAAGGUGCAGGUUGAAAGUUUGAUUAAUGUCGUUUAUUGAAUAAUCAUGUGAUGUUGGAUAAUGGAUAGUGACCCACCUGAAUAUUUUUGUUGCUGGUUAGAAUUUUGUAUUUUGAGGAAUCUUCGUGGACAUAUUGGAAAUGUUGUCAAUUUUGAUAGAAUGUAGAUUUAAACUGGAAUUUCAACAAAAGUAUAACUUGAAAUAGGUCUUGUAAAUUGUCAUAUGAUUCGUUAAUCCAAUACGAAAUGAUAUGGAAAUAAUAGUUUUGAAUCAACUUGAUAAUGAUUUGGAUCUUUAACAGAUGACCCGUUAAGAAUAUGAUAAGAUAUCAUUUUACAUAUCUAAACAUUAGGGAUUGCAAUUUCUUGCAUAACCUGUUAUCCGACAUGAAACAUGAUUAGUUAACAAAUCGAGGUGUUAUCGGGUCAUCUGUUGAGAACCUUUUAAGAUAACGGCUAUAACACAAACACCACAAAUACGAUAUGUUUGCCAUGCCUAACUUGAAAGCUAUUAAAUAUUUACAUGGAAAUAAGAUUUACUGAAUAAUAUUUCUUUGUAGUUCAACUUGCUAAGUAUUUCGACUUCUUAAACAAUCUUCACAGCUUGAUUUUUUAAAAUCAAUCUUCAUCGUUCAUUUUUCGAAUUACUUAGUAAUUCUGGGAGAAAUAGUAGAGACUUGAGAAAUAGUAGAAGAUAAUUCAAGAUGCCAACUACAGUAAACUGACGCUGCCAACUUUACAACUCAUUUUCAUAGUUCGAUUCAAAGGAUCCACGUCAGACCGAAUCAUUUUUUUAUCUCUUUCAAUAUAUAAUAAUUGGUUACGUAUAAAUAUUAAAUUUUCAAUACAAUUAUACAUGUGCAGAUAAUAUCCCAAAUUAUUGUUUUCCUUCCAAGAAUUCACCAACACACAACUUGGAGUCCAUCGCGACCAUUCCACGGAAAAAGGAUUCUCGCCAGAUUCUUUUUCUAUGGAUUCAAUAAUCGUAAUCGUUUAUCAUAUAUCAUGCGGUCAGAAAUUAUUUCAAAAUUUAAAUUUUAAAAUUAAAUAUAAAUAGUACUUAACGAAAAUUGACCGCACAAUGUAUGAUGAAUUAUCACAAUCAUAGCAUCCCUAGGAUCCAUACAAAAAGGAUCCGGUAGAAUCCUUUUCCCAUUCCACGUACCACCUUCUCAUCUAAAUAAUAGAUUUCCAAAUGAACCAAAGACAACUUGAGAAGAACUUCUACGUAACGUGAAUGUUACUAUAAUAGGAUAUGAAUUAAUAAUAGAUUAUCGUGUGGGAAGUUAAAAACGUAUGAGAUUGUGUUUAAUGCGUUUAGAAAAUCAAAAUGUGUUGUUCUCGUUCUAGAUAACUUCUUAUUCCGUGCACAUGAAAACCCCAUUAUAAUAAGGUUAUUGAGAGGUCUGGCAAAAUGAUCGUGUUUGUGUUGUUUCGUGUCUUAUCCGUUACUAAACUCGUUAUUUUAUUGGUUCUUAACAAGUGACUCAAUAACGACCCGAUUAGUUAACGAGUCGUGUCGUUUCGUGUCAGGUUAACAGAUUAACAAGAAAUUGUCAUGCCUAAUGUCUAGAUCUGACAAAUNNNNNNNNNNNNNNNNNNNNNNNNNNNNNNNNNNNNNNNNNNNNNNNNNNNNNNNNNNNNNNNNNNNNNNNNNNNNNNNNNNNNNNNNNNNNNNNNNNNNNNNNNNNNNNNNNNNNNNNNNNNNNNNNNNNNNNNNNNNNNNNNNNNNNNNNNNNNNNNNNNNNNNNNNNNNNNNNNNNNNNNNNNNNNNNNNNNNNNNNNNNNNNNNNNNNNNNNNNNNNNNNNNNNNNNNNNNNNNNNNNNNNNNNNNNNNNNNNNNNNNNNNNNNNNNNNNNNNNNNNNNNNNNNNNNNNNNNNNNNNNNNNNNNNNNNNNNNNNNNNNNNNNNNNNNNNNNNNNNNNNNNNNNNNNNNNNNNNNNNNNNNNNNNNNNNNNNNNNNNNNNNNNNNNNNNNNNNNNNNNNNNNNNNNNNNNNNNNNNNNNNNNNNNNNNNNNNNNNNNNNNNNNNNNNNNNNNNNNNNNNNNNNNNNNNNNNNNNNNNNNNNNNNNNNNNNNNNNNNNNNNNNNNNNNNNNNNNNNNNNNNNNNNNNNNNNNNNNNNNNNNNNNNNNNNNNNNNNNNNNNNNNNNNNNNNNNNNNNNNNNNNNNNNNNNNNNNNNNNNNNNNNNNNNNNNNNNNNNNNNNNNNNNNNNNNNNNNNNNNNNNNNNNNNNNNNNNNNNNNNNNNNNNNNNNNNNNNNNNNNNNNNNNNNNNNNNNNNNNNNNNNNNNNNNNNNNNNNNNNNNNNNNNNNNNNNNNNNNNNNNNNNNNNNNNNNNNNNNNNNNNNNNNNNNNNNNNNNNNNNNNNNNNNNNNNNNNNNNNNNNNNNNNNNNNNNNNNNNNNNNNNNNNNNNNNNNNNNNNNNNNNNNNNNNNNNNNNNNNNNNNNNNNNNNNNNNNNNNNNNNNNNNNNNNNNNNNNNNNNNNNNNNNNNNNNNNNNNNNNNNNNNNNNNNNNNNNNNNNNNNNNNNNNNNNNNNNNNNNNNNNNNNNNNNNNNNNNNNNNNNNNNNNNNNNNNNNNNNNNNNNNNNNNNNNNNNNNNNNNNNNNNNNNNNNNNNNNNNNNNNNNNNNNNNNNNNNNNNNNNNNNNNNNNNNNNNNNNNNNNNNNNNNNNNNNNNNNNNNNNNNNNNNNNNNNNNNNNNNNNNNNNNNNNNNNNNNNNNNNNNNNNNNNNNNNNNNNNNNNNNNNNNNNNNNNNNNNNNNNNNNNNNNNNNNNNNNUUGAUGAAAUGUCAAUUUGCAUGCUUUCCUUCCAAAAAAAAUUACGCGUUGCGCAUGUUAUUUUUACUGAUUCCCCAACAAUAUUCCAUGAAUCCUUUACUAAUUUGAAUCGACCCAAACAAUGCUUUUGAAAAAAAUUAUUGGAUGGUACUCUAUUACGUGAUAUGGUAAUUCAUAAGUAUUAUGCGAGUGAAUGAUAAAAUUUAUAAUUUAAAUAUUAAUACUAUGUUUACAUAUCAAAAACAGGUUAUGAGUAUCAUUUUCAUUUUGAACCUAUACUCGGCUUAUUAAUAUACGAUAAAUGAAUAGGCGAGGUAGUCUUACGUUGAAUAGGCAGUAGUCAAUUUCAACCGUGUAUAAUGAAUUAUUACUAAAGAGAUCGAUUAUCGCGUACUUAAACAACUAGAUGUCAUUCACUUAUAUCAUAACUAAUAAAUUAUAUAUAUAAAAAAAAAGAACUUUAACGAAAAACUUUCGGUACUGUUUACUUUAACGAAAAAUCAUAUUUUUACACUAAAAAGUCAAUUAUGGUACUAUUCACUUUACCUUUUAUUUUAAGAAAAUAUAAUGAAAAUAGCUUGAAAACUUUGAGUUUUAAUGAUAAGGACAAAAUAAAGGGUAAAGUGAAUAGUAUCAGGUUUGACUUUUUAGUGUAAAAAUAUGGUUUUUCGUUAAAGUGAACAGUACCAUGAGCUUUUCGUUAAAACUCCCUUUAUUUUAUCUUUAUCGUUAAAACGCAAAGUUUUCAAACCCUUUUCAUUAGUUUUUCUAAAAAAAAAAAAAAAAAAACACAUAUUACAAUUUCUAAAAAGAUGGUACUAUUCACUUUACCUUUUACUUUAUUCUUAUAGUUAAAACUCAAAGUUUUCUAACCAUUUUCAUUAGUUUUUCUAAAAAACAGAAAAAAAAAGAUGCGUAUUACAAUCUCUAAAAAGAUUAUACUCUGUACUGUAAUACAAAGUUACACAAUAAUUACUUGUAAAUUUGUACGUACAUUUUGUGACAUUACCGCGUUGUCCAUAAAUACGGCUUCAGCAAAAAUAUUAUUAGUCAAAUACCACGUAGAUAUAAAAAUCCCUCCGGUGAAUUUGGAUAUGGGAGCCAACUGUUGUCGCGUUGUAAUCCGAGUAAUAGGUUUGAUACGAGAAAUUUUUUUUUGUGACGGGAAUACAAAUGGUACAUCACAUAUUUUCAUAGAAAUAAAAAAUUUAUUUUUUUAAUUUAUUAACUUUUUAACACACAUAUCUCGAUAGGUGUAUAAUAACACGUGAUGUACCACCUGUAUACCGGUCGCACUGAAAAAUCUUUCUGGAUUGAUAGGACGUGGAUCCGACGUGGCUACCUAUCAUCGAUUUCAACGGUCCAACUAAUACGACAUCCCGUCGCCGUUGUAUGGAUAAGCUGUUAGAGAAGUUGGGGGCUUAGAAGAAUAAACUAGUAGAUUAAUCUCAGAGCGAGAGAGGUCGAAGCUCUCAAGCAAUGGUGUCAAAUUCGUGUAGCAGUUCUCUAUCUCGUAUUAUAAAUACCAGCCCCAUUAUUCAUUUACCCAAAUCAAAUUAUCCCAAGCAUAAUUUACCCAAAUCAAAUUAUCCCAAGCAUUCUCCUACUACAAGAUUCAAUCUUCCGAACCCAAACAACUUGUACUUUCUCAGGCGCUCUGUAAUUUCUCGUCCUGCUACUACUUCUGGUACUAUUCUCUUCUUUCUCUCUGUCUUCAAUCUGUUUGUUUUUCUGAGAAAACAAUUAGUGUUUGGGUUUCCGAGAAAAUAAUUAGCUUGAAGAUCUUUACUGACAAAGCUGAUUGCUUUUUUGUUUUACUGUUCGGGUUGUGGAAUUUCCAGAUUUUCUCGGAAUCGGGCGUCUUCGUUUUUGGCUUUUCAGGUGAUUAAUUGGCUUAUUAGUGCUUGCAGUGUUUCGAUUUAAUUCGAAGUGGAGAUUUUGAAUCCGUUUUCUGUGAAAUUGUAGAGAGAAGAAAGAGAGAUGACGAUCAAACCGGCGGUUCGAAUCUCGGAACGGAAGCUGAUCGUGAAGGACCGGACGAUUCUGACGGGAUUGCCGGACAAUGUAGUGGCCACGUCCGGUUCGUCUUCCGGUCCGGUCGACGGGGUCUUCCUCGGCGCGAAUUUCUCGGAGGAGAAAAGCCGGCACGUGGUUUCGUUAGGGACGCUUACCGGAGUCCGGUUCAUGGCGUGCUUCCGGUUCAAGCUGUGGUGGAUGGCCCAGAAGAUGGGGGAUCAGGGAAGGGACAUACCUCUUGAGACUCAAUUCCUAUUGCUCGAGACCAAGCACGGGUCCCACCUGGAAUCGGACGGCGGAGACGAAGAGAACCAGAUCGUCUACACCGUGUUCCUCCCUCUCAUCGAAGGCUCGUUCCGCGGUUGCCUGCAGGGCAACGCGAGCGACGAGCUCGAGCUCUGUUUGGAGAGCGGCGACGCCGACACCAAAGC
This 52862-nucleotide long non-coding RNA is filed under the name Malus domestica (apple). The record is from RNAcentral. Lineage: Eukaryota; Viridiplantae; Streptophyta; Magnoliopsida; Rosales; Rosaceae.